This 51134-nucleotide long non-coding RNA is filed under the name Pelobates cultripes (western spadefoot toad). The record is from RNAcentral. Lineage: Eukaryota; Metazoa; Chordata; Amphibia; Anura; Pelobatidae.
GUUAAGUUGUUUCAAUGGUUAAAUUCCAUGGCAGGAAAACAAUAUGACACAGAAGCACUUGAAUUGUAUCGCCAAGAAGCAUGGUUAGCCACAAGGGAUCUGGUGCACAAACACAACCAGCUGGCAGAACUAGGUCUUAAAAACUACACUUUGGCAAUGAAUCAGUUUGCAGAUCUGGUAAGUUUGUCGAAAUCAUUCUGGAGGUAUAUUAUUUAUUUUGUUAAAAUUCAAUUGUUUUCUGUUCUAUACCAGAUUAUAUAAAAAUCUAAAAUAAUAUAAUAAUAUAUAAAAUAAAAAUUAACUUUAAAAAAAGUCCAAUAAUUAACAGGGCUGUAAAAACUCUUCUCUAUACUCUGGUAAUAUGUGUAAAAGAGACUCACCAACAUGUGGAAUGUUGCAAAAAUUAUGGUGUAUUGAGGUCCUCCCUUUCCAUUGCUCUGCAUUUUUUUUGAUUAUAGUUGCAAUAAUUAUUAUGCAUGAAAACGUGAAUGGAGGUACUUUGUAACUUAAUAAAGCGCUAUGGAUUCUAGAAGCUGUUUUUUCAAAAAGCUGCAGCCAAAAAGCUGCAUCCAAUCAGGAAAAUCCUUAAUAUUUUUAAUUUUUCAAUAAUGCAUUAAUUGUGUAAUCAACCACCAUGGGAUUGCCACUUUAAGAUGAAUAAUUUCUGGAAAAUAUAGUUAAUAUACUUUGCUUGAAAUACAUCUCAAAGAGCCACCACCAAUGGUUUUGCAAUACCAUUCAUUGAUUAUAAAAGAUAAACCACUGGAAUUGCAGGAGGACUAGUGUUUGAACAACUUUUCUAGAUCUACAUUAUUUGUGCUGACUUCCUGGAAAAGGAACAUUUUACAUUUCAUUAUACAUUUUUUCUCAGUUUUUUUUAAUACUGCAUAAAAUGUUUUUUUUUAUCAGUUGUAAUAGUAUGCAAAAAUUAAGAUAAAAUAAAUGGUUUAUUUGCUUAAUAUUGCCUUUAGUGAAUGGAAAUAAGUGAUUGAAAUGUAUUUUUAAUAAAUACGGCUAUCAUGUUUCAGACCCCAGAAGAACGGGCUUCACACAUCAGCCUUGGCUUGAAAGGACAAUUUGCAAUCUCACAUCAUACCCAUAAUCGCCAUGGAAAUAUGCCCGUUAUUCCUGAUGAAUAUGACUGGAGAAAUUCAAAAUGUGUGACUCCAGUUAAAAGUCAAGGCGAAUGUGGCUCAUGUUGGGCAUUUGCAACGGUAAAAACUAUUUAUGAGCUUAUAAGAAUAGGUUUAUGCAACUCAUUUGUUAAUUUAUGGUUAAUUCCCCAUGAAUAACAUUGAAGUUUGACUGUCACUGUUAGGGUAUUUACAUUUUAGCCAAGAAAUGUCCUUUUACAAUGUUGUGCCUGGGGGCAAAAGAGAGCAGGUAGAUAAACAUCCCUGAACUUUUACUCCUUGGAGCGGCCAUCUUGUUCCUCAAAUCAGAACUUCAACUCAUUGCAGCUUCCUCUGUCAGGACUUGCAUCACUAUUGAACAUAAACACAAAUAGAGUACAAAAUGGUGGCCUAUGGAGUGAUCUCAGUAUUUUUCUAGAUGAUCUUGCAAGUGCUCGAUGACAUGUCAUCAACAUCUAUUGCUCCUACUGCAAAACGAUGCCUGUUCCUAUCAGCGCAAUUUUGCACAUUGUGCAGUCAUUUGAAUUUUUUUUACACAUUUUAAAAUGAACUGUAUGAAUUGUCAGGUUGUGCAAAUGUUAUUUGAAUUUUUUCACCCCUAUUUAGCUGUCCCACUAGUUAUAGUUCUGUCUGUACAUGGUUAAAGAAGUUUCUUUUUUACUUGCAUUCUCUGAAAGCAAGUUUUUAUUUUAUAUGCUUAUUAAUUGAUGGAUAACAUUCAAUAAAUUAAUCAUUAAUCACAAUUAUUUAUAUAGCACCCAAACUAUUAAUAAUAUAUAUUAUAUAUAUUAUAAUAUAUUAUUAAUAGUUUGGGUGCUAUAUAAAUAAUUGUGAUUAAUGAUUAAUUUAUUGAAUGUUAUCCAUCAAUUAAUAAGCAUAUAAAAUAAAAACUUGCUUUCAGAGAAUGCAAGUAAAAAAGAAACUUCUUUAACCAUGUACAGACAGAACUAUAACUAGUGGGACAGCUAAAUAGGGGUGAAAAAAUACAAAUAACAUUCGCUAUAUAUAUAUAUAUAUAUAUAUAUAUAUAUAUAUAGCGAGAGAGAGGGAGAGAGAGAAUUCACCCACAAAAACAAAAAUAUAUAACAGUUUGACAUUUUAUUAGUAUUUUAUAUAUAUCACACCAGCUGGUCUAACAAUAAUGGCAUGUAUAUAAUACUAAUAAAAAUUAAAAGCUUGAACAUACUUUACUUUUUGUAUGAGGAUUCUCUUUAUAUUUCCUUUGAUGAGUUUUUCUUUGGUGGUAUUUGUGGAGAGAUACCUACCUGAAUCCUGUACCUACCAAUGUCUGAAAGGAUGAGCAAUAUGGUAUGUUAUUGUGUUUUGGUAUUUCUUGCUAAAUUAAAAGUAUCUCAUGUAUAUUGUGUUUUAAGGUGACCCUUAUUGAAACCCGGUACUGCCUUGAUAAGGGUAAGCAACUCAUAUUCAGUGAGCAGCAGCUUGUGGAUUGCGAUAAAGCAAAUGAUGGUUGCGAUGGUGGACUCCCAAUUAAGGCUCUGGAAUAUGUUUCCAAAAAUGGUAUUAUGAAGAGUAAUGACUACAAAUAUAAAGAAAAGGUAGGAGAUUUAAUUCCUUCAGACAUUCAUGUACAGUUGUUUACAUUGACAUUUUCUCUUGUAUUGCACCAUACAUUGAAGAGCAUUCUGAGAAGUCACUGCACUGUGUCUGAAUGCCCCAAAACCCAACUACUCAUACUGGAGAGGUAGAAUUAGCCAAUAUAGAUUUGUAUGACUGAGCUAGAGAUGCAUGGUUUUAUAUAUAUAUAUAUAUAUAUAUAUAUAUAUAUAUAUAUAUAUAUAUAUAUAUAUAUUGUGUGUGGACACAGGAUUGGGAACAGACACUGAAUACUUGGAGUAGCUACUAGAAUCAUAGAAAUGGGAAUUUUUUGGUAACCCUAGUUUAGAGCAUGAAGUAAUAAGUUUUACGGGAUUGGAAGAUCUCUGCUAUGUAAAAUUUAUCUUAAAGAGGUCAUUUAUAUGGAUCUGGGGCCCUUUGCUCAACCUUGAUACUUCCCACCAUCAUUUGAAUAUGCCAGCUAAAAGGGGCAGAGGUAAUUCAAUGCCCAUGUUUAUGAUUCCAAUUCUUCAUCGUCCAGGAUAAGGGGUCUUAUAAACAAUAACACAGUUUGUUUCUCUACCAUAACUCAGGAGGCAUAGUGUUAGAUUGUAGUCAGGAACUACUCAAGGUAUAUCGUGGGGAGUCUAAGCAUCAAGGGGUUAAAAGUUCAGAACAAGUAGAAUAACUAUGAUUUCCUGUUCUUCCUAUAGAGAAAUACUUUUAUACGUUUGUUUCACUGUUUUUAGUUUAUUUUGCUGUUUAUCUCUUUGUAGCAAGGUAAAUGCUUAUUUAACUCCAACAAUGCAAUAAAGAUGAAAGCAAAGAAAUUCUAUUAUGUGAAUGGAGAAGCAAAUAUGGCAGCAUCAGUGGCAACUACUGGACCUCUCACUGCUGGAAUUGGAGUUAAUGAUGAAUUUAUGCUGUAUGAAAAAGGUAAUUUCUUCUGAAGCAUGUUAAUGAUGCAAUAAUAUAUUUUAUGUCAAAGUAUGUUAUGAGAUGUAUUCUUCAUAUUAAUUAGAACUUCUAGACAGCUGUAUACAAAGAGGAACCAGACUAAAAAUUGUGUUUGAUCCAUUAACUCUAGUGAUGAUAAAAUUUGCAAUGAAAUAAAAAUAAAACGAGAAUAUUAUUAAUCAACUAAUGAAAUGCACUUAACUAUACACAAAACAAUUUGACAGUUCAGCUAGAUCAGUGAUUGAGAUACUACCUAUUGUAAACAUAUAAGAAAUUAAAGUUGCUUUGAGAUUCUGUUCUUGAAUACAAUUUGCUCAAUAUGAGUUUAGGUCUAGUUUUUGAGUCUCCAGGUCCAUGUACACAUGAGUUCUAUCAAACAAAAACACAAUUCUUUCUGAGAAAAUCUAUAUGGUGAACAUACUUGUUAUGGAAAUAGUGUCAGUGAAAAUUGCAAACACAAUUUGCUUAUCUUUCAACUCUAUCAAUUGAUUACAUUUAUUAUAAUUGCUAUUUACCAUAACAUUUUAUUAGGAUUCAGGAUUGUAAAAAUCAAUCCAUUGCUUUCUACUCAAAGUGUAUGUCAUUUCAGAAACCAGUAUUCAGAACAUGUAUUUAUCUGAGCUCUGGAUUGGAAAAUUCUAAAAAUCUAGAGCUCUAAAAAUAAUUUUGACAUACCUUUUCUUAAAUUUUUUAAACAAAUGAGCAACAAAAAAGAGCAGCAUGUACAAUAUACAAUUGGAGAAAAAAUACAGGUGAAUGUUAAAUUAAUAGUGACGUGAUGGACAAGCUACCGCAUUAUCUUCAACACUUGAUGCAAUAUUGUCGUUGAGGGAAAGUGACAACUUAAAUGUAAAAAUAAAAAAGUAUGUAUAUGUAACAUUUUAAAAAAAUUUUAUUCUUUUAUUUAAUUUAGGAAUAUAUGAUGGAACCUGUGCUGAUGGACCAAAUCAUGCAAUUGUCGUUGUGGGUUACGGCCGCAACUACUGGACAGUUAGGAAUAGGUAAAUGAUUAAUUAUCACUUUGAUCUAUGUCUUUUAUUGCAUAUUAACAGACACAAAAAUCACAUUUUCACAGAAUCACAAAAUCCCAAAUGCAUAUAAGUGGCUAAUAUUUGGGUGAUGUAUAACACAUAAUGCACUCUAAGCUAUCUUACCUAAAAUGCUGAGUUAAGUUAUAAAAACUUAAGCGAACAUGAGUGCACAAUUCAAUGCGAUUACUCUCAGUUUCUUUGGAGAAAUAAAAACAAUAGCUCAGCUCGAUAGCUCAGAAGUGCACCACCAUAGUUUAAUUUUUGCCUUGUAGCAGCAAAGUCCCAGGGUUGAUUGUAGUUCCUAAUAAAAUAUUCCAGAUUGUUUAGUUGAUAUUUUUUAAUAUUUUAAUAUAGAUAUUAUUAUUUUAUAUGACAGAAUAUAAGAAUCACGUGGCAAAAUGUAUCAUUGAUGAAUUAUCAGUCAUUAUCUUGUAGUUUGAGAUAUUCAUCUUCUUAUCAGGAAAUCAAUUAUUUAUCAUUGUCCAACUCCAAAACUGUUGUCUAAAUAUUCACCUGCGCAUAUAUUAAAAGUUGGAUAGCUAACAUAAUAUCUUUGCUUGUUAUCCAGGAAAAUAUUAUGCAUAUUCCAUUAAAGACAUGUGUGUGCAUCCUAAGAAAUUAUUCUAUAUUUGCCCCUUGAACUUAGACAGAAAAAUGAUGAGUCAUGAUAUUUACCUCCACUUUAAAAAAAAAAAAAAAAUGUUUGCAGAUUUAUUAAUGUUGGCAUAAACCUUAUUACAGAUAUUAAGAACGAACAUCUGAUAGGUGCUGCUCAGAAAUAAGGAUUAGCAUAGUUGGAACACAUGUUACACUGAGAUAUUAUUGCAUUACAAUCACCAAUUAAAAACUGUAUAUAUUUUUUUCUUUGUAGCUGGGGUGAUGGUUGGGGAGAAGCCGGCUAUGUGAGAAUGAAGAGAAACAUUAACCAGUGCAGUAUAGGCGUCAUGCCAGCGACUAUGGAUUUCACAUUUAAUUAAAGAACGCCUCGAGCAGCAACACAAAAUUCAGUGGUUGACACAGAAGAAUAUCCCUCUCGAUGAAUUGGCUUUUGUUUUAUUAAAAUCUUCACUUGGUGAUUUUGAGAUGGGCUCCACCUACAUAAAACCGAUAAAUGUUAUCAUGGCAUAUCAUUUGUUUUAAUUAAAGAAAAUGCAUCUAACUUGUGUUUUCUAUUGCAUUUUUUACAUAAAGGGGACUUUAUUAUAUUGGAAAGCUAGAAUCAAUAAAAUAAGAUAAGAUGCAAAUUGUAGCUAUAGUUCUUAAGGAACAGCCUAAGAAAGAAAUUACAUAUAAAAAUUCUACAUUUAGUUAUCAACCAAGGUGAUCUAACAGGGUUAUUUACUAAAGUGAGAACUGAAGUUGAUUUCGUGAAUUCAAGGAGAAUUUCAGAUUUAAGGUCAAACUAGCUGAACAUGAAAAAUUCCCUAGGUCAGUUAAGCUUUCAGUUUAGCUACUCUAGUCUUUAAUUUAAAAUUCACUUUUAAUUCUCACUUUUGUAAAUAGCUCUGUAAAUGAUAACUGAUGUGUUGGAUCAGUGAGACUGCUUAAUAACAUAUACAGGUUUAAUUAUACAGAGAUACAUUGACAAUGUUAUAAUUAUUUGGAGAGGGUCUUCUAUUUUGUUUCAGGAUUUUGUUAAUUUUCUAAAAAAUAACUAAUAUAAUCUUAAAUUUACCCCUGUGUGGAGUAAGGAUGAAAUCAAUGUUCUUAAUUUGACUCUUUUCUAUGAAAAUGGAUAAAUAAAAACCAAAUGCUUUUUUAAGCCGACAGAUGGCAAUGGAUAUGUCCAUCGGAAAAGUUGUCACCAUUAACCGUGGCUUAAAGGAACACUAUAGUCACCUAAAUUACUUUAGCUAAAUAAAGCAGUUUUAGUGUAUAGAUCAUUCCCCUGCAAAUUCACUGCUCAAUUCACUGUCAUUUAGGAGUUAAAUCACUUUGUUUCUGUUUAUGCAGCCCUAGCCACACCUCCCCUGGCUAUGUUUGACAGAGCCUGCAUGAAAAAAAAAUGGUUUCACUUUCAAACAGAUGUAAUUUACCUUAAAUAAUUGUAUCUCAAUCUCUAAAUUGAACUUUAAUCACAUACAGGAGGCUCUUGCAGGGUCUAGCAAGCUAUUAACAUAGCAGGGGAUAAGAAAAUCUUAAUUAAACAGAACUUGCAAUAAAGAAAGCCUAAAUAGGGCUCUCUUUACAGGAAGUGUUUAUGGAAGGCUGUGCAAGUCACAUGCAGGGAGGUGUGACUAGGGUUCAUAAACAAAGGGAUUUAACUCCUAAAUGGCAGAGGAUUGAGCAGUGAGGCUGCAGGGGCAUGUUCUAUACACCAAAACUGCUUCAUUAAGCUAAAGUUGUUCAGGUGACUAUAUUGUCCCUUUAAAGGCAUUGCUAAAGGACAAUUUAUGUGCCUAAGGCGCAAUUGUUCCCAUUUUCAGGAUUUUGAGAAUUAAUCUCAACAUAUAAGCAAAUAAGCUCUUGGAGAAGGGAUAUAAAAGUAAUGCCUUAGAGAGAGAAAAUGGUCUCACUUCUAAAAUACAGAGAAAUGCUCUACUGAUUGACAUACCCAAUUUCAAAUCUUCAUAUGGGACCCAGUAUAAUCUGGAUCAUGGAGGAAUAAUAAAUAGCAUACAAAAAACAUUGGUCCAUAUUAUUGCAGGAACCAGUCCUGGGAACUCAUCUACGAGAUCAACCUACACUCAUAUAUAAAAAAAAAAAAAUCGUAAACAUAAAAUAUGUUAGCCCCCAGUUACGCAAUAAAUACCGAUGUUGGGAACAUCAUGGGGCACGCUGGUACUUUUAGAGGAUGCAAGUCUUGUAAAGCUUGCUCCACCAUCUCUCUGGAUAGGACAAACCAAUUUUCUAGCUUUAAAACUGGAGAUGUUUUCAAGAUUAAGUCCGAGGUUGGAUGCCACACAGACUUUGUAGUUUAUUUGCUGCAGUGCCCGUGUGGCAAACAGUACAUCAAACGUACUAAAAGAAUCCUUAAGAUCAGGGUUUUAGAACAUCUAAACAAUAUAAAGAAAGUCCUUAUGACACAUUCGGUCAAAGGGUGACACCGUAUUGGCAUGGUGGUGAUAGGGUAAGAAAAACUUGCCCAACAUACAACCUAUUGGAUUCACAAACUCCAAAUGUUAGAACCAAAGGUACUGAAUUUGGACAUAGAUUUAGUUUGUUUUUUAUGAUUUAGACCAUCUCUCCCAUUUUACAUCUUCCCAUCUUUACUUCUGGUUCAUGUGUAUUUUUUUCUGUGUAUUUUUUCCUGCGUAUUCUCUUCCUCUGUACAUACAUAUGUUCCAUAUAUCCUCUGUAUUAGGGAUACCAGAUAGUUAUUGAUUUAUGAGAGGCUUUACAGUUAUAUAUUAUAGAAGUGGGUAUGUACGGUAACAUCACAUUACCUUAAUUUAUUUCAAUUACUAUUUAGAAUAUAACAAAAAAUUUAAAUAUUACGUAUUUACGGUUUAAUGUACCUACUCACCUUAAUAUAUCCAUUGUUACUCUUAAGAAUCAAUUUUAUGAUUAAAACUGUGGUAGCAAAUGAACAAUAUAGAUAUAAAUAUGUUCCUUUUCACCCUUGAAUUAGGGAUAUCAAAUGUAAUCAGUUGUUAUUUUAGGACAGGUUAUACAGUCAUGCAUUAUAAAAAUAGGUAUGUGUGGUUACACUAUAGUAUAUUAAUUCAUUUCAAUUAUCAUUUAGAACAUAACAAAUAAUAAUUGACACUUAUCAAUCAUUGCACAUAUUCACUUUAAUAUAUGCACUUUAAAUAAUUAAUCCCUGAGUGAAGUUGUCAUAAAAAAGAAAAUUAUAGAUACAACUAACAUCAGAAAAGGAAUUAUUAUCCGUUUUCUUAACUACAUGCUAAGUAUCCAUCACAUGAUAUAAGUUUAUUUCCUUGCACUUUAAUUCAUAUUGACGGCUCUGAUUAAUGAUGAAUUUGUGGUAUUAAUAACCCUCGCUUUAGCUGAUCAAGCUCUUGAUGUUACGUUUUGUUAACAUCACUUUGAAUCUUGUAAUACCUUUGGCGACCACCAAAGGGUCACACACUACUUCUGUGAACUCUAUGGCAUGUAUAUAGCCUUUUUGAUCUCUCUGGCUCACAUCACAGUAAAUGGAAUGCAGAAGUGUUCAAUGGAAUGCACUUCCGUUUCCAGUUUUUGACAGAUGUCUAAUUACCGGCCGAGACACAAGAGAUAAAUCUUGAAGAUCCAUAGGUGAACCAGUGCAAGAAGGGAACCGAUAGGACCACGGAGGAAAAACAACACCCUCGGAACCACCAAUGAACUCAGGAAUUAGUCCUACCUAAAGGGACUCUGGGGUGGGAUUUGGGAAUUGUUAGGCUGUUAUUUUUGUAUAACCAUUUGUUACUUACUUUGAUUUUAUGGACUUUGAGGAAGUUCCAAGUGUGGGACGAAACGUGUAAGACUACAACUACUGCUGUUUUAAUAGCAUUAUCAAUUUUAUUUGAUUUAUAAUAAAAAGCCAUUAUUUCAUACAACCAUCUGGAGUCCUGAUUUCCUGCUACACCUGCAGAUGGAGGAGAGGGAUCCAUAGCCACCCAAUUACAUUGGGGAAGCACCCUUUGAGCGCAUAAUACGUCUACAUCUUGUGAGUGCAUUCUUGUACAGCACACAUUUUUUGUUCAAAUUGUAUCACACUAUGUUUUGUUUAUGUUCCUUUUAGAUUUUAGAGUCGUACCCCAUAUGUAGAGGGUAGUAGAUAGGCGGCGCCAGUAAUAAAGAGCAAAGUAGAUAAAAAUAAUAAUAAUAUAGUCUAAGUGAUUAAAAGUCCAGUAGUAGAGUUCAAGAAUGUCUUUUGGGGGACUGUAUGUAGAAGCAAACGAAAAUUUAGAAUAUGAGAUAACAGCUCCGUAAGUUGAAGAUGUUCUUACACUCUGUAUGUGGAAAUAAAAGAGACAACUAAUGGUGCAGUAUAUUCAACAAUCAGGUGUUAUUCUGGUAAAAGUCUUAUAUGAUCCUAUUCACAUUUUAUAGAGCUAAUGGACUAGCUGUAGUAUGAAGUGCGUACAGUGGUAUAAUCCCCACUUAUAGGAUACAUGAGAUGAUUUCUUGUCUGAGGGAAGGUCAUAUGAAAUAAAAAGGAACAGCCAUAGUGUUCUCUAUUUAAAAUCAGGAAAGCAGAAAAUAAAAUCUAAAGUGGUUACUCACAUUUACACAAACAGGCAGACUGCUCAGUGUAUAGGGCUUGAGUGGUAUAAUCCCCACCUAGGAUUCUUUGGAGUAAUGUCUCACUGGAACACAAUACAACUCAGAAGCCAGCUAAAAUAGGUAAAAAUAAAAUAAAAUAAAAAUAUUUUUUUAAAAAGUAAAAUGGCAACUCACAGUGAGGAAGUGACCAAAAUAACUUUAAUAAAAUACAAUACAGUUUAAAAUGUCCACAACAAGGUUCGCCAUCAGGUUUUUUUCAAGUAGAAAUGCAGAGAACAUAACCUGGCAGGUCUGGGUUUAUAAAGGGAGUGAAACAGCUGGUGUGUUUUAAAAAUAGUGCCAAAAUGACAUCCUAAUUGCUUAAUUGAUGACUGAAGAUAAAGUUAAAAAUCACAUAUAGCUGUAUAGCAAGAAACAGUAAAAUGUAGACAGAACAUAUAAAUAUGUGGUAGUGAAAAAUGAGGGUGACAAAGGAAGUAAGAUUAGACCGAAGUUUCAGUCAUGCGAUCGGCGGACAAUUUUAUUUUUGUUUAAACUUUAUUUGUGUAUUUCUGGCUUCCUUGACCUCGGCUUUCCCUUUGACCAUUCUCUGUCGCUAACGUAUUAGUCCGGCCAUUCUAAGGACCGGUUUACAUUCUGUCCUUUUAUUUCCUUUUCAUUUUCUAUCUAUAUGUUUACAUAGUUUCUGUGUGUUGGACCACACUAACAGUCGUGACAGACACUUCCAUUCAGUCAGCAAAGGGCAUUGUAGAAGUAACAAUAAAUAGUUUGUUUUUCAAUUGCUACCAUCACAAGCCCCUUUCAGGCGCUUUUGGGACCAGGUCCAUAGUCUGUGGGAAAGAGGCUGUCCUUCAAGCUUUUACAAAAGGCCAUUGCAUGGGAUCUUCUGUCACAGUAGAUAUUACUAGGCAAAGGCAAAAAAAGAGCACAUCAUUCAGAUAGUAGUGACAGAAUAUCAGGAUAAAUCAAAGAAAUUAUGGCAACUACUAAAUUAUAGGUAGCAAAGUUAGGCUAACAACGUCAGGACAUACAUUCAAAGAUUAAAAUACUGUAGAAUCAAAAUGAUUAGAAGCAGAAUAGUCGAAGAUAUUCAGUUGUCCUUAUAAGAACAAACAACCACAUGCGUAUGCUGACCUUAUCUUCAGAUAGUGUUGAAGGACUUACAGCAGAGCAUAUGGUGAUGAUAAGAUCCAUGUGCAGCUUGUUUAAUCUGCAAAGCUAUCAACCCCAGUCGAAGCAUAUAAUUCACAAAUAUUUACAUCAAUGCAAUGUCAGGAAUGAUUAUCACUAAUACGGAUCUAGGUACAGAGACCAUUAAAAACAUAUCAGCCAAUUGUUUGUCAUAAACAUGCUACAAUAUUACUUUUAAUUGAUGACUCUACAUCUUAAAACCACACAUUGGCUGUAAAGCUCAGAUAGUGAGACACCCAGAAGAAUCCCCUUGAACAUCAGAACAGAGAUCAGUAAUGGGACGUAAUGUUCAGGUAUUUCCCUUAUUGUUUUGGUAGCAAGAAUAAUUCACCUGAAAUAUUAAAACUGUUACAAUAGUCUGAGGAGUGAAAAGUGGCAAUUAAAACACUUGCGAUACCCAGUAUCCAUAAUACAUGGAGAAUAUGAGACUAAGAAAAUAGAUGUUAUUGCAGAAAAUAAAUUAUAAUGUUCCCCCUGAGAACUUCACAACAGGCUACUCUUAAGAAUCAAAAGCAUGCCACCCCUGACAUGCAUUAAAAAAAUUGUCUAACUCAAGGCCACCAAGAUAUCAAAUAGCAGAAUACUGAACAUAACAAAUAGCACAUUCUCUGAAUUAUACAUAUUAUGCAUUAAGGAAAUUCACUCCAUUCUAAACCAACUGCAGGGCAUUGAGCUAAAAUCUGAAUAAAAAUUAUAAGCCAGACUAGUAGUAUUGCGUUUGAGAGUAGAAUCCUACAGAAAUUAAAAAUGAUUACUUAAGUUGUGACUUGGUAAUACAGAAUAAUAUUCAUAGCUUUUAAAUCAAAGUCAAAUUAUAUUUGAGAAAGUAAAGCAAUGAAACGGGUCAGUUGAUUGCUUCAGAGAGCUACCUGCUCAUGGGAGCAAUAGAUAGCCACAGCUUAGCACCUGCAAUCAGCAAGAUCUACUAAAUUGUGCACCUGCAAUUAGCAAGAUCUAUUAAGCUGUGCACCUGCAAUCAGCAAUACCUACUAAGCUGUGCACCUGCAAUCAGCAGUAUCUACUAAGGUUAAACACUACCUCUAAACGUAAAAACAUUCUUUACCUUGAUUGAUGAGGAGAUGGUACCUGGCAAUAAAAAAUACUUUUGUAGCAACUUCUCUCACGUAUAUGCAUAGGUGUGCACACAUAAAGGGCCAUUAAUUGAUAUUGAACAUCACCAGCCUCAAUUUUGGAAAUCAGGUCCCCUUCUCUCCAGAUGGAGGGGUGCACAGACAGGAUCAGUAACACAUGCAGUCCAUCUAAAGUGUUUAAUUGCUAAUACUUAAACACCUGUGUGGGAGAACUCUAAUGCAAAUGUAAAAUGCAGUGUGUUUCUCUUAUCCUCUUCAUUCUCUUAUCCUCUUCAUCGUCAAACACAAAGAUUAUAUUGGACUCAUACAUAGAGAUUGUGUCUUUUAUUUCAUUCACAUAUACUGUCUCGCAGCAACUGCCCACCAAAACUUUACCCAGAGUGCUCUUGGGGUAAUAGGGGAUAGGGUGACUUUGGACUUUGAGGAGCUACAAAGAUUCAUGGAAAGCGCUGUGGUUUUGGGUGACUGGGAUUUUCUACCCAGCACCAUGGAACUCUGCGAAAAGAUUGGAGGCUAGAUGAAACCUGCUGAAAUGUUCACUUCCACCUAAAUCUGGCUAGCAACCUCCGAUCUGAGCACCUUUUGGACAAAGUAGGUGCUCUGAAACAAGCUUCCUGGGGACAGCAGUUGUGUGGAGAUGUGGGGACGAAAACCAUAAUUAUUGUAUUUUUUAUUAUCCCAGUGCAAAGGUGUCUGGCUGAUCAUUAAAUUAUCUACUCAGGCACAGACACCAAGGCUCUGGGAAUGUUGUAAUUCUUUUAUUCUCUCAGGGGAGUUCCUGUUGAGACCCAAGGUAAAAAAAUGUGACAAUAAACUAGUUCUAUUUCACCCUACACUAGGUUAGCUAGUGCUUGCGGUGGAUCUGCUGUAGAGCUAUAAUCGCUGAAGAUAUUCUGAUAGCCAUAAACAUUAAUGAAAGGAAAUCCUUUGCGGUGCUAUCCUGGUGGUCCAUCUUGCAUUUUAACUAAAACAUAGAGCACGUAGAAACAUAGAAACAUAGAAACAUAGAAUGUGACGGCAGAUAAGAACCAUUCGGCCCAUCUAGUCUGCCCAAUUUUACUUUCAUUAGUCUCUAGCCUUAUCUUAUAGUUAGGAUAGCCUUAUGCCUAUCCCACGCAUGCUUAAACUCCUUUACUGUGUUAACCUCUACCACUUCAGCUGGAAGGCUAUUCCAUGCAUCCACUACCCUCUCAGUAAAGUAAUACUUCCUGAUAUUAUUUUUAAACCUUUGUCCCUCUAAUUUAAGACUAUGUCCUCUUGUUGUGGUAGUUUUUCUUCUUUUAAAUAUAGUCUCCUCCUUUACUGUGUUGAUUCCCUUUAUAUAUUUAAAUGUUUCUAUCAUAUCCCCCCUGUCUCGUCUUUCCUCCAAGCUAUACAUGUUAAGAUCCUUUAACCUUUCCUGGUAAGUUUUAUCCCGCAAUCCAUGAACCAGUUUAGUAGCCCUUCUCUGAACCCUCUCUAAGGUAUCAAUAUCCUUCUGAAGAUACGGUCUCCAGUACUGUGUACAAUACUCCAAGUGAGGUCUCACCAGUGUUCUGUACAAUGGCAUGAGCACUUCCCUCUUUCUACUGCUAAUACCUCUCCCUAUACAACCAAGCAUUCUGCUAGCAUUUCCUGCUGCUCUAGUGGACACAUGCUUCAACACCCUCAUAAGCACACUGUCCCGCCAACUCAAAUGCCUAUCUCACACUUUUAAUGCUCUAAUUUGCCCUGUUGCUCCCCCUCCUGCUACCACCCUGUCUGCCUCAAACUUUGCAACUCACUUCACUGAGAAGAUUUCUACAAUCAUGGAAGAGAUCUCUAACCACUCUCCCUUUAAACUUAUGGAGAGCGAAAAAACAGGGUGCAAGAGUAUUCUGAGAACGAGCAGGGGAGAUUUGAGUGGGGACCCACAGAAGGGCAGGCUAGUUCUGCUGCUGCUCGUUCUCAGAAUACUCUUGCACCCUGUUUUUUUGCUCUCCAUAAGUUUAAAGGGUAAUCCAGACUUGGACCCCUUGCUCUGGGUGCCUAGAGAGAUAUCAGCUAUGCCUCACUGAUGAUGCCUAACAAGGCUGAAACAAUCGUCUGGGGUUGCUCUGCCUCUCGUGCAGAGGGAACUUGCUGGCAUUUCAAAUUUGGACUGCCCGUAUGGGUGGGACCAGUCUGAUAUGUUUCAGAGAUGUUCUCUCUGUAAUGGCACAAGAUGAGUUAAAACUAGCUUGAGAUCUGAGCGGGGACCCACCGAAGGGCAGACUAUUUAAGCUGUUGCUCGUUCUCAGAAUACUCUUGCGCCCUGUUUUUUUGCUCCUCAUACAUGAAAAAAUAACCCUUCUUUCACUUUAUUCAUUUUAGGACCUCCCUUAACUUGGCAAAAAUACAAGGUCAUAACUAAAACGUAAGGGGGUGCAUACAUCAUGGAAAAUUCCCUUACUUAGAUCAAGGUGGCAUCUGAACAGCUUUAUGUAUUUAGGGUUACCUCAGUAUAUUAUGUACUGAAAGAGUCGUAGCGUUGCCUUGAAGCUUGUUUAUGCAUUAUUGUUAUUGUAUUUCGUCUGGGACAAAAUGGCGUAAACAUAUCAUGCACUGAAAGUAGGUAAAUGGUUAUUGCUUAGAGAAACAUGUAUGAAAAACAAUAUGUUUCAUUUCCAACACUUUGUCAGUUUUCAAUAUCUCUUAAAGACAAAGUACACAGUUUGAGAAAUACAAUAUUUGCAUUUUCCCAUAUCACCCUUCCAAUACAUCACCCAACCCCACUCACUCCACUGUUCUAUGCUCUUUCGCACCUACUACAAUGGAAGAGGUUUCUGCUCUGCUCCGGUCCUCCCUCCCUGCCACCUAUUCCCUUGAUCCUUUUCCCUCGUAUUUCAUCCGCACCCUAUCUCCCUCUCUUGCUCUUCUUCUCACUAAAAUUUCCAAUCUCUCCCUUUCCUCUGGCACAUUUCCUUCACCCUUCAAGCAUGCAACCAUAAUGUCAAUUCUGAAAAAGCCCAACAUUGAUCCCCAAUUCCCCAUCCAACUACCGCCCUAUAUCACUACUGCCGUUUGCUUCCAAGAUCCUUGAGAGAGUUGUGUAAGAUUGACAGACUAUCUCAAAUUCAUCUCUCUGCUUGACCAACUUCAGAAUGGAUUCUGUGCUCUUCACUCUGUUGAAACAGCUGUGUGUAGCAGAAUGGGCUUUGCAACAGAACCUCUCUUUGUACUAGGGGCUGUCCAUACCCUCUUUUCUGUGAUUUCUACUUUUCGUUACUUGGGGAAACAAGUAAGAAACUAUUACAUUUAAUUUUUUCGUCUGGUUGUUCAGUAACAGCCCUCUUUCAGCUGACUUUCCAUAUAUAGCUCGACAAACGAACUAAGUACCGAACAACUAGGCCACCCAUGAGAGGAGCGUGGCGCCAAUUGACCUUCCUAACCUUGUUCACACUUGCUUAACCACAAACACACAAACCAACUGGGUGAUCCCCUGGGCGGCCAUCUUUGAAUACGAACUGUACCAGCGGGGUUUGGUUGUCGAGUGUCUGGAACCCAAAUCAACGGACACUUAAUGGCACAAACACUUCAGAGACUUCCAGCUUCGUGUAAGUUUGUGUAAACUCAGGAAAACAGAGUGGCAUUCGGUGAAAGGAAUCACACGAAUGAGAUUAUUUCAACUAACCAAGGCACGAACCAUGUUCAUAUACAAUUUCAUGUAUUUCAGACUCUCGAACGUAGACCGACCGCACAGCCCAAACACAUGGAACUAUUUUCGGCUUACACCUUGUGUGCGGUCGGUAAAGACCUACAUAGAAUUGUCGAACCCCUGAACCAAUCUGGGUAAUUUUUCAGUAUGUAGCUCUCCAGAUUGGGGCUAUCAGGGUCUGAAUUGUGGGAGUAGGAUAGGUUUUUGGGGUACUUCUGGAAAUGUAUAAAAAAAAAAAAAAUUUGUGUGGAUGAUAAUUGAGUUGAUAUAGUAAUUAACUCAAUUAUCGCCUAAGCAGAGGGGAGGGAUUGUGUGGAAUGUAUGGGAGUAACUCAUUACCUGACUCUGUGUUUAUUGGUUUUGUACUGGACCUGUGUCCAACAAGGUCCACCUGGGUGGUAACCUUGUGGGAAAAACAAGCAUAAAAGGCCAGCAUGGCCAUUAAAGGAUCAGUUCUGCUCCUAAUAAUGAGUGUCAUCCAGUUAUUGGAAAGGGUGAAGGGAUAUUUGUGGAUGAUUUUAUGCUUAUGUCUGCUUUCUUGAAGUAUCCUGUUUGUUCCUGAGUAGCUGUUGAAGUAACCAGCAGAGAAGAAACCCUGCUAUAACUAGCUAAAUCUUGAGGCAAUUACGCUACCCUAUUUCUCCUUUAUCUUUCUGCUGCCUUUGACACUGUUGAUCAUCAACAGCUACUUCUCAUUCUCUGUAAUCUCAGUCUACAAGAUACUGCUCUCUCCUGGUGCUCCUCCUACUUUUCGUGGCGCUUUUUCAGUAUUUCUUUCUCUGGCUCUGCCUCUUCUCCCCAACCCCUCUCUGUUGGCAUUCCUAAGGUUCUGUCCUUGAUCCCCUACUGUUCUCCAUCUAUACUGCCUCCCUUGAAAAACUCAUCAGCUCCUUUGGCUUUCAUUAUCAUUUAUAUGCAGAUGACAUGCAAAUGUACCUGUCCUCUCCUCAUCUCUUAUUUCUCCGCCCAUCUUGACUCAUGUCUCUGACUGCCUCUCUGUGAUUUCUAACUGGAUGGCUGCUCACUUCCUUAAACUCAACCUGUCCAAAACAGAACCUCUGGUCUUUCCUCCCUCAAGUGUUGCUACUCCUGUGUAUGUCUCACUCAAAGUCAACGGCGCCACCAUCACACCCCCCCUCGCAGACUCGCUGCCUAGGUGUUCUCUUUGACUCUGACCUCUCCUUCACCCCUCAUGUCUAGUUGAUCACCAAAUCCUGCCGCUUCCAUCUCAAAAACAUUGCAUCUUCCCCUAUUUAACAACUGAUACGACUAAGGUGCUGGUCCAUGCUGUUGUUCUUUCUCUCCUUUCUCUCCUUUCUCUCCUUGACUACUGCAAUCCCCUUCUCAGUAAACUUACAUGUUUAUAGAUUGCACCACUGCAAUCUAUAAUGAAUGCGACAGCGAGGCUCAUUUUCCUGUCUGCCUGCACCUCCCACUCCUUUGUCAUUCCCUACAUUGGAUUCCAGUUAGAUAUAGGGCUCAAUUUAACAUUCUGGUGCUUACUUACAAGUCCCUACAUAAUGCUGCUCCGACCUACUUAUCCUCCCUAAUACACAAGUAUGUCUCAUUGAGGCCCCUGUGCUCUGCUGGAGACCUACGUCUAUCCUCUGUCUGUACUCCCACAUCUGAUGCUCGCCUCUAAGACUUAUCCAGGGCUGCACCUUUUCUGUGGAACUCCCUUCCCUUCUCUGAUAGACUUUCACCCAGUCUCCACUCCUUCAAAAAAAUCUUUGAAAACACACUUCUUCAGGAAAGCAUAUCAUUUAAACUGUUAGCAGGUUUUCAUCCCCCCAUGACUCUUCUCCUGCAACUGUCAAAAAUAUUAUAAGUUCUCAGUGAAUACUUUUUUGCAACCUAUUUCAUUACCCCUACUUAUACCUUUUGUGUCAUUAUACCCCAUUCCCUCUAGAAUGUAAGCUCAUUGAGCAGGGCUCUCAACCUUUCUGUUCCUGGGCGUUCAUUUUUCUCGUUACAAUUACGUGUCAGUUAGUCCACCCAUUGUACAGCGCUAUGGAAUUUGCUGGUGCUAUAUACAUAAUAAAAUAAUAAUAAUAAUAUGCUGAAGCGGUGUCUUCACAUCAUCUUAUAUAUAGCGCGUAUAGAAGACACAUACUGAGGCUGUGUCUUCACACUAGCUCAUACAUAGAGCAUAUGAUGGAUACAUAUACUGAAGCUGUGUCUACAGACCAACUCAUACAAAGAGUACAUAAUGGAUACAUAUAUUGAUGCUGUGUCCUCACAUCAACUCAUACAUAGUGCAUAUUGUGAACACACUCCAACUCAUACAUAGAGUAUAUCGUGGACAUACAUAAUGAGGCUAUGUUUUCAGACCAACUAAUAUAUAGAGCAUAUACUGGAUACAUAUACUGAAACUGAGUCUUCAGACCAAUUCAUACAUAAAGCAUAUAGUGGAUACAUAUAUUGAGGUUAUGUCCGCAGAGUAAUUCAUACAUAGAACAUAUACUGGACGCAUACUGAUGCUGUGCUUAAGAUCAGCUCAUGUACCGAGAUAAUAUCAGUCAAAUAUACUGAGGCUAUGUGAUAUCCAAAUCUAUAGAAGAUCUUCAACAGUUCAUACUGAGAGGAUAUCUUGGUCUCAUAUGCUGAUUUAGAUAAUCAGAAAUAUCCCAAAAAUAUUUUACCUUCCACAAUCUGAAAAAGCCUGCUUAUGUGCCACAAUGCACAGACAACAACAAUCAUUGCCACAUGCCGUAAUAGGAACAAGUGUCUGAGUGGACUUAGCAUCAGACUUUAUACCUCAUGUCAUGUACAAGUCUGUAGAUCAGUUAUUUACCCAGGGAUACUUUUUCUUAACAUGGAUAUUUGCCUUUCUUCACACUUUGGUAUUCAGGUAGACUUUAUACAGCCAGGAUAUCCAUUAGUAGCACUCUUUUUUUUAAAUGCAUCAUUGCAUGUAUAAACUUACCUAAAUGCUUACCUCACAGACCUCCUUAAUGUAUUUGUUAAUAUUUGUUAGUAGGAAACCCAAAAAUAAGCAACUGGGAGGAACUGAAAGAACAUAAAUUUAGGUACUUAUACUAGUUUAUAAUUUAAAUACCAAUGUACUUACCUGAGGUGGGAAAAUAUACUAAACAGCCACAGUGGUGUAGUUUGGUUUUGUACUGCCUUAGGCUUGACAAAUCUCAGGCACCCCCAUCUAAAUUUCUGUUCCUUUUAAAAAACAACACACUCUUUGCCUGCCGGUCACAUGCCUUCACAGAUGCAUACACUGACAUACACUCACUGACAGAUGCACAGUCAUUGGCACACGCACUGUUUAACCAACACACACUUUCACAGAAACACACCAACAUGACAGACAUACACAUUCACUAACAGACAUGCACAUUUACUGACAGACACAAAUACAGACUCACUGGCAGGCACACUUUCGGUUACAGACACAGACACUGACAGACACGCAUACACAAUCACUCACAAACACACAUACACACUCACUGAAAAACACAUAUACAGUCUCCCUGACAAACACACAUACACUCUCACUGACAAACACAUAUACACUCUCAUUGACAAACACACAAACUCUUUGACAGACACACAUACAAACUCACUAACAGACACACGCACUCUGAUACACUCACAAUUUAAAAAAAGCAUUUUUUAUUUCAAUCCACUCAUCCUUCCUACCUUUGGGAGUACUGGAGUGGAAUCUCUAUUUCCCAGGGGUCCAGUGGGGAUUCUUUCACUGCUGGGUAGGUAGUUAAUGCAGGUGGCAAGGUAGCUCAGAUCUUCCUGCUCAGCUCCCUCGCGCACCUCUUAGUGAAGCCAGGGCUCGAGUGAUGUCAUAUCCUGACUUCGGCAUCACUGCGGCGCGUGCUACGGAGCUGAGCAGGAAGUGCUCAGGGCACAGCACUCCCUCGCCCUCAAUGUGAACAGAUGGACAAGAGGCUGACAAGACUUCUGCCAGGGAACUUGGGGGCAGCCCCCCUUAAAGUGCCGACCAAGGCAAAUGCCUUGUGAGCCUUGCGCUAAAUACAGCGCUGAAUAGCCAUAGAGACAGAUAAACAGCUGCAGGCUUGUAUUUAAGCAGCACAUGGGGAUUUGAACAACUGACAGCCUAAACUGUUUAAACUGUAGGCUUCCAUCUGCACCCCAUAUGCCAUUGGUCAUCACAUACGUAAAAGGGGCAUACCCAUGAAUUAAUCAUAUGCAAGAGCUGUUUACUGAAUCUUGAGGGAUGGAGGCCUAGACUUUUAAUACUGUAUGCAUAUUCUAAUAAUGUUGUAUUAUGUGACAAAUAGAACUGUAAUAUAUAUUUAUUUGUUUUAAAAUAUUGAAAUAUCAUUCAGAAUGAAUUAUUCUCUUUAUCCUAUCUAUUUGCAUAUGUACUAGGGUUGGGCUCUUUUUAUUAACUCCUAAUCAUAUUCUUGUACACAUUGUUCAUUUAUUUAUACAUUGAAGUUUUGUAAUAUAGGCCAUAUUUCAUUCUUUUAUUUUUACAUUAAACGUAUGCCAUUUGAAUAUACUACUCUACUAUCCCAUAAACAAACUCAUACUCUGGAUAUAUUUUUUCUGUGCAAUGGAUUACAAAUGUGUGUAUGUGUUUUUACACGUUUCUUUAUGUGGGAUAUGAUGUUUAAGAUAUUUUAUUAUAAUUUCUGGCAAUUAUAUAGCGCCAACAUAUUCCACAGCUCUUUACAAUAUUAUAAAAAUGAACAUUUAACAAUAAACAAGACAAAUACAAAGUGUUACAGGAACAAUAGGUUGAUGAGGAUACAGAUCAAACAAGCUUAUAGUGUAAAAGAGAAACAUAGAAUGUGACGGCAGAUAAGAACCAUUCGGCCCAUCUAGUCUGCCCAAGUUUCAAAAUAUUUCCUUAGUCCCUGGCCUUAUCUUAAAUCUAGGAUAGCCUCAUGCCUAUCCCACUCAAGAAGUAGGGUAUAAAACUCAUUAGGAAAGGCAUUGAGGGGGAAAGCAAACAAACAAGAUGGGAGUGAAGCAGAACUGAAGGACAGAGUGGAGUGCAGCCCUUUAGGAGAGAGCAAGUGGCAGAUAUGUGAGAUAAAGGUUACUCAGGCCAUUAGUUUUAAAGCGGCAAUGUCAUGGCCGAAUCCAGUUGUUUUUUUAACCCCCCUUCCUGACUCCACUACAUCUAAUUGUCCCCCUAUCACCCACAAAUACCCCUAAGCCCCCCAUAUUACCUAUUCUUUAACCCCUUAAGGACCAAACUUCUGGAAUAAAAGGGAAUCAAUGUCACACAUGUCUUGUGUCCUUAAGGGGUUAAUAUUUAUUUUAUGCCCAGACCUAGGUCUUGGGCACCGCCAUCUUUCUGUGGUUAGAUGAAGUCCUUGUGGGACACAUCAUCUGCCCACAGUAGAUAGCGCUGUGAAAUUCUUGUGCAUGCCCAGUUAAACACUUGGGCAUUCGAACAGGAAUUUCAUCUAUUCACUCAUUCGUCAGAAAGAUGAAAAAAUAAAUAGAAAUUUCAAAUGAAUUAAUGAAGAUCUCUUUAUUUGUUCAUUUGGUUUAUUACAAGGAGGGACCUACCGGCACGCAGCUCCAUCCUUGUAAGCCCCCAUGCCCCCCCUUACUCUAUUGGGGUCAAUAUGACCCCUAUAUUAGCAUAAGGGAGAUUAAAAUCUCCAGAAUGCCCAUACUCACUAUGCCGCGAGUAGGGGCAUGUCUACUGAACAGUGAGCAGAUAGUGGCUGCUCACUGUUGUAAACCCCCCUUUCUAAAUGAUGGCCCUAUAAAAAAACAAUAAUGUCCUGCCCCCACCCCUGAGCUGUGGGUAGGGGCCCUAAAUGAAAAGGGGGGGACCUAUUAUCCUCCACCCAGCCCCCACCAAUGAGCAUCGGGUUGGGACCCUAAAUGAAAAUGGGGAGGAGCUAUUGUCCUUUCCCCAACUGGCCCCCACUCAUGUGAGACAGGUGGAGGCUAAAUGUAGUCACCCCCCACCCCAAAAAAAAUUAAAGUACUACCUACCCCCCUCAUCCUAAAAUAGUGAAGGGGGAGACCAUAAAUUUAAAUUCAUGUAAAAAAUAAAAUAAGUAAGCCUAUGACCCUCCCGUGAGGCACUAAUAGACAAAAGGAACCGGCCCUUGCUAAAGCCUGGACUUGUGAGAUAUGGGGCCGCAGAACUAUGGACUGUGUCCUGCCUACCAACUCACCACUCAGACGCCCUUCCUGCUGGCAAAGAGAGAAUGAGGAGGAAGUAUAUCUGGCAAAGAAGCUGCCUUACCGCUGUGGCCUGCUUGCAGUGGCAGAUGACUAAUAUUGGCUAAUAUUUGAAGCUCUUUCAAUAACCAUUGCAACUAUUUCACCUCUUUAUUGUUAGCUUGCUAUCCAUUAUGCCAUGACCUAUUUUCACUAAUUUAGUUAAAAUGCUUUAAUUGGGCCCCUGUAAUAGUUAACCUUAUCCACCCAGUGGUAUCUAACUCUUGUAGACAGUCACAAUUCUAUUUUACAUCAUUUGGCCUUUGAUAUUGCUCCCUAUGAAAGAAUUGUGUUUUUGCUGUUUUCCCUCAUUUCCCACUAAAAGUGCAGUGUUCCUAACAUUUCAUGUUACAUCUACUACUCUUCGUUAUUAUAUAUAUAUUAUGAAAAUGUAAAUGCUAUCCUGACUGAUACGCUAAGCACUGCAAAAGUAAAUAAUGUAAAAAAAAAUAAAAAAAUAUACCUAAAAUGUUUUGCACACAGUUCCAUCUAGAUAUUCAACAUUUUGUAAUUUCUCAAGCAGCAUUUUCCAUUUUUUUCUCUGUCUCUUGCAUGUGUAAAAUGCUUAAGGGACAUUAGUAGUGUUAGUUUAUCCUAUUGCCAUAUGUCAAUAUAUUUUAAACAUAUCAUUGUUUGCAUGUGGAACUUCAGAUUUAUGUUUUACCCUCUCUCCUUUCUUAUUAUUAAGUUAUGAUGUCAACAUAAUAAAAUACCACAAAAAGAUACCACAUAUUUCCUCUUUUGUUGUGAUUUUCUUUCUCAAAUGUUAUAUCAAAUCAAUCUUAAAUCUUAUCAGUUCUGUGAUAGGUCAAACUGUUUUCACAUAUCUUAUUCUUAGCAUGACUUGCCGCAAGUAAGAAUUCUAUUGGUGGGGAGAAUUAUAUAUAAAGACCAAUAUUUUGAAAGCUCUUCAUUCACCAAGACCUGAAGGAGCUCCUGGUCUUGGGAUCACAUCAGGCAGGUACGUUACCAGCUUUAUUACAGUGUACAUGCUAUUUCAAACAUAGAAUGUACAUACAGCAUAUUAACUUAGGAAAAAACUAUUGUGUGUGGUUAAACAGUUUAUAAACCUAUAUCUUGCCUCCUUUAUGAUAAGAAACUGAUUACACUUUUAGUUUUCAUAUUUCAAAAUAAAUAUUUGAUAUAACUGGAGUAUUUAAACUAAAGACGUACUAUUGGUUUACUUUAGGAUGAAGUUCAAUAAACAUCUGUUCCUCUUCUCAACAAUUGUUGUCUGCGCUUCGGCUGCACAUUUCCUUGAACAAGAAUGGAACCUGUGGAAAUCUAAGUAUGGUAUGUAAUUAUACAGAUACACACAUGUAUGAUUUAUGCUAAUUAGUUACAUGUACUUAUUUGCAUAAGUAUGAUUUGUUAGUGAUAUGUUUAUUAAUUCUGUGUUGGUUUCCAUAAUGUGCGUCAAAUAAGUGGAUUACCCCAGAAUUGAAAAAACAGUUUUUGCCUUAAUAUAUACUUUACUUUAUUUAUUCAUUAAAUACAUGAAUUAAAUUUUUAAAAUAUAAUAGCCCUAAAGAUUGCCAAAAACUGUGUUACUUGACAAAAAAAACACACAAAAAAAACCAGACUAAUAAAUUAACAGUGGUUUGAUUGAUGUGUAACGUCCAUUAAAAUGUGAGAAUGCUCACCAAUAAAACCUGAAGUCCGAAUUUUUUUAUCCCAUAACUAUGGCUUGUAGUAAUUUGCUGAAUUUAAAGGACAAAAUACAUUAAAUGAAAAGAGUUACUGUUUUAAAUUGUUUUUAAUUGCCUUUCCUUUUUUAAUAUAUUUAAUUUUACUGGGGAUUUAUUUUUCCAUCAGUAAUUAUCCUGAUAAAGGAAUAUAGGAAUUGCAUACCCUAGAACAAAAUGCUAAAUGAGCAAGAAUUUGUUGAUAAACAAACAACUUCUUUUAGCACAAAGAAAAUUAAAAAUCUGUAAUGUGAAUUUAUUUUUGUAUUCAGUUCAUUCAAUUAAACCAUCUUAUUGCAAACAGCUAUUAAUUAAUUCAUAGAGAUUUUUAAUUAGGGCUUUGAGUAGAAUAAAAUAUUAGUAAUAUUAGUCUAAAAGAGUUGAGCAAAUAUCCAUCAAUGCAAGCAACACAACAUAAUAUAAUGUGCAGUUUUUGUCCAAAUGUUGUAAAUUAAAUUGUUUCAAUGGUUAAAUUCCAUGGCAGGAAAACAAUAUGACACAGAAGAAAUUGAGUUGAAUCGCCAAGGAGCAUGGUUAGCCACGAGGGAUCUGGUGCACCAACACAACCAGCUGGCAGAACUAGGUCUUAAAAACUACACUUUGGCAAUGAAUCAGUUUGCAGACCUGGUAAGUUUUAUGAAAUCAUUCUAGAGGUAUAUUUUCUAUUUAAUUAAAAUUAGAUUGUUUUCUGUUUUAUACCAUAUUAUAUAAAAAUCUAACCUCAUAUCUGUACCCUGAUAACAUGGUGUAAUGAGGUCCUCCCUUUCCAUUGCUGUGCAUUUUUUUUAUUAUAGUUGCAGUAAUUAUCAUCCAUGAAAACAUGAAUGUAGCUACUUUGUAAUAAGGAAAAUCUGUGCACGAGAAACAUUUUCUCUGUUAUUUUUUUUGCAUCUUUCAAUCAUGCAUUAAUUUGCUUAAUCAACCAAGAUGGCCUUAUCACUUUAAGAUAUAUAAUUUCAGGAAAAUAUUUUAUUUGUUUGAAAUACAUGUCAAAAAGGUUAAGAAAUUAACAACAGAAUCAAUUUGUCUACUAUGUUAGUAAUGUGUUUCUUAUAUGUAGACAAGGCUGCACUUGCAAAGUUAUGAUAAUACACACAAGUAAUAGUAGUACUAAUGUUAACUAUAGAAAAAAAAUCACAUACAUCAAGAGCAAUUAAUGAAUUAUAAAAGAUAGACCACUGGAAAUGCAGGAGGGCUAGUAUAUAUUUAAUCACAUAGUUUUUAUCAGAUUUUUUUUAUACUGCAUACAAUUUUUUUUUUAUAUAUUUGGAAUAUUAUACAAUAACUAAAUUAAAUGAAAAUAAUUUGUUGACUUCCAUAAUAUUGCAUUUAGUGAAUGGAAUUAAGUGAUUAAAAUUUAUUUUUUAAUAAUUAUGGUUAUCAUGUUUCAGACCCCAGAAGAACGGGCUUCCCACAUCAGCCUUGGCUUGAAAAGACAUUUGACAAUUUCACACCAUGCCCAUAUUCGCCAUGGAAAUCUGCCUGUUAUUCCUGAUGAAUAUGACUGGAGAAAUUCAAAAUGUGUGACUCCUGUUAAAAGUCAAGGAGAAUGUGGCUCAUGCUGGGCAUUUGCAACAGUAAGAACUCUUUAUUAGCUAAUAAGAAUACUACUAAUAUCUUAAUUUCUGGCAACCUGACACUAUUAGAGUCUUUAUAUCUUUAGCUAAGAAAUGUCCUUUUACAAUGUAGUGCCUGGGGCAAAAAAAAUUAAAUGUUCCUGUAGGUAAAUGUUCCUGAACUUACUCCUUUGAGCUGCCAUCUUGUUCUUAAUUUAGAUCUUCUUCUGCAAGGACUUACAUCCCUAUUGUACUUGAACACAAAUAGAGUACAAAAUGGUGGCCUGUGGAGAGAUCACAGUAUUUUUAAAGAUGACCUUGGGCAUUCUCAAUGAGAUGUCAUCGACAGAGUGUGAGCCUCACUCUGUGAUUUUCACACAAGAUAUUUACGACUCUCUGCGAGAAUAGUGUCUAUUUUCUAUCAAACCUGUAUCUUUUCUGCACUCAUGUCGCUAUGACCCCUGUAUCACAACUCAACUUUUAAUUCUAUAUGUCGUCUUGCUCAGAAAUGCUUUAGACUUGAGAAAGGGAGGUUCUCCUGAAAGCUUGUCAUUAAAAAAAUCUGUUAGUCCAAUAAAAAAGGUAUUACAUGAUAGGAAUGUUAUCUUGUUUUUUACAUAUAUAUAUAUAUAUAUAUAUAUAAAGAGAGAGAGAAUCCACCCCCCAAAAAACUAAAAUAUAUAACAAUUUGCUAUUUUAUUAGUAUUUUUAUAUAACAGACCAACAGCAACAAUAAUGGCAUAUAUAAAAUACUAAUGCAAAUUACAAGUUGUAAUAUACUUUACUUUUUGUACAAGGAUGGUCUUUGUAUUUUUUUUUUUUGGGGUGAGUUUUUCUUUGGUGGUAUUUUGGGAGACAAACCUACCUGAUUCCUGUACCUACCAAUUUCUGUUAGUGCAUUUGGUUUGUUAUUGUGUUUUGGUAUUUCUUGGUAAAUUAAAAGGAUGGUAUGUAAAUUGUGUUUUAAGGUGAGCCUUAUUGAAACCCGUUACUGCCUUGAUAAGGGUAAGCAACUCAUAUUCAGUGAGCAGCAGCUUGUGGAUUGCGAUAAAGCAAAUGAUGGUUGCGAUGGUGGACUCCCAGUUAAGGCUCUGGAAUAUGUUUCCAAAAAUGGUAUUAUGAAGAGUGACGACUACAAGUAUAAAGAAAAGGUAGGAGAUUUCAUCCCUUGAGACGAUCAUGUACAGUCCUUUACAUUUAGAUUUUCUCUUGUAUUGUACUAUACAUUGAAGAUAAUUCUGUGACUGAAUGCCACAAAACCUGACCACACAAAAUCAGCCAUUGAUAUAUAGAUUUGUAUGACUGAGCUAGGGGUGCAUGGUUAUAUAUAUUGUGUGUGGACACAGGAUUUGGACCAGACACUGAAUACAAGGAUUAGCUGCUAGAACCAUAUAAUUUGGAAUUAGUUUAGAGCACAAAGUAAUUGUGUUUAGAGGAUUGGAGGAUCUCUGCUACACAAUAUUUAUAUUAAAGAGGGUAUGUAUAUGGACCAGGAGUCCUGUUCUCAACCAUGAUAAUUCCUACCAUCAUUUAAAUGUGACAGCUGAAAAGGGCAAAGGUAAUUAAAAGCCCAUGUUUAUAAUGCCACUUCUUCACCACCCAAAAUAAGGGUCUUAUAGACAUUAACACAGUUUGUUUUUCCAUCAUAACUCAUAAGACAUAGGGUUAGAUUAAAGUCAAGAGCUACACAAGGUAUACCAUGGGAAGUCUAAGCAUCAAGGGGUUAACAGAUCUAAACAACUAGUAUGACAAUGUGUUUCUGUCCUUCAUAUGAGAGAACAAGUUUAUAAAUUCAUUUUGCUGCUUUUAGUUAAUUUCGCUGUUUGUUUCUUUGUAGCAAGGUAAAUGCUUAUUUAACUCAAACAAUGCAAUAAAGAUGAAAGCAAAAAGAUUCUAUUAUGUGAAUGGAGAGGCAAAUAUGGCAGCAUCAGUGGCAACUAAUGGACCUCUUACAGCUGGAAUUGGAGUUAAUGAUGAAUUUAUGCUGUAUGAAAAAGGUAAUUUUUUAACGAACCAUGUUAAUGAUACAAUAUUAUUUUUUUAUGUCAGAGUACAUUAUGAGAUGUGUUCUUCAGAUUACUUAGAACUUCUUGGAAGUUGUAUACAAAGAGUACCACGUUAAAAAUUUUGUUUUAUUUAAAAAAGAAAUUCCAGUAACUCUUGUGAUGAUAUAAUUUGGAAUGAAAUAUAAAAGAACUAGAAUAUUAUUAUUCAACUAAUGAAAUGUAUUUAACCAUACACAAACCAAUUUGAAAGUUUAGCUAGAUCAAUAGUUGAGAUGUCACCCACAGUAAACAUAUAAGUAAUUAAGGUUGCUCUGAGAUUCUGUUCUUUAUUGAAAUUCAGAAACAAUUUGCUCAGCAUGAGUUUGCCCAUAGGCUUAGCUAUUGAGUCUUCAGGUCCAAGUGUACAUGAGUUCUAUCUAACAAAAACACAAUUAGUUCUGAGUAAAUCUAUAUGGGAACAAUACCUGUCAUGGAAAUAGUGUCAGCGAAAAUUGCAAACACACUUUGUUUAUCUUUUAACUCUAUCAAUAUAAUCAAUUUAUCCUAAUUGCUAUUUACCAUAAUAAUUUAUUAGGAUUCUGGAUUGUAAAAAUCAAUCCUUAACGUGCUGCCCAGAGUGUAUGUCAUUUCCGAAACUAGUAUUUAGAACACGUAAGGAUCGUUAAACUCUGGAUUGGAAAACUUUUUCAUCUCAAACUCUAAAAAUAAUUUUGACAUAUCUUUAUUAUAUGUUUUUAAACAAUUGUUAUUGUUAAGAGAGCAGCAAGUACAAUAUACAAUUGGAGAGAAAAUACAGGUGAAUGUUAAAUUAAUAGUGAAGUGAUGGACAAACUAGCAAAUUAUCCUCAACACUAGGUGCAAUAUUGUAUUUAAGGGAAAGUGACAACCUUAAAUGUAAAAAUAAAUGUACAUAUAUGAAAAAAAAAAAAAAUUAAAAAUGUUAAUCUUUCAUUUAAUUUAGGAAUAUAUGAUGGAACCUGUGCUGAUGGACCAAAUCAUGCAAUUGUCGUUGUGGGUUACGGUCGUAAUUUCUGGACAGUUAGGAAUAGGUAAAUGAAUAAUUAUCAUUUUGAUCUAUGUCUUAUAUUGCAUAUUGACAAGGAUUGAAAAUCACAUUUUUACAGAAUCACAGAAUCACAAAAGCUCAUAAGUGGCUGAUCUUUGGGUGAAGUAUUACGCAUAUGCAUUAGAAUCUUUAAAACAUGAAUUAUAGAUGCUGAGUUAAGUUAUUAAAACUUAAGUGAAGAUGAGUGCACUUAAAAUUCAAUGUUAAAACUGUCAGCUUCUUGAGAGAAAUAAAAAAAAUAGCUCAACUCAGCUCAAUAGCUCAGAAGUGCACCACCAUAGUUCACUUUUGCCUUGAAGUAGCAGAAUCCCAGGGUUGUUUGUAAUUAAAGGGAAACUAUAGUCACCAGAACAACUUUAGCUUAAUAAAGCAGUUUUGGUGUAUAGAACAUGCCCAUGCGGCCUCACUGCUCAACCCUCUGCCAUUUAGGAGUUAAAUCUCUUUGUUUAUGAACCCUAGUCACACCUCCCUGCAUGUGACUUGCACAGCCUUCCAUAAACACUUCCUGUAAAGAGAGCCCUAUUUAGGCUUUCUUUAUUGCAAGUUCUGUUUAAUUAAGAUUUUCUUAUCCCCUGCUAUGUUAAUAGCUUGCUAGACCCUGCAAGAGCCUCCUGUAUGUGAUUUAAGUUCAAUUUAGAGAUUGAGAUACAAUUAUUUAAGGUAAAUUACAUCUGUUUGAAAGUGAAACCAGUUUUUUUUUUUCAUGCAGGCUCUGUCAAUCAUAGCCAGGGAGGUGUGAGUAGGGCUGCAUACACAGAAACAAAGUGAUUUAACUCCUAAAUGACAGUGAAUUGAGCAGUGAAAUUGCAGGGGAAUGAUCUAUACACUAAAAUUGCUUUAUUUAGCUAAAGUAAUUUAGGUGACUAUAGUGUUCCUUAAAUACAUAUUAAUUUCCCCUGAAACAAAAUGUCAACAGGUUGUCAUGCAUGUUUAGAUACUAUUAUUUUAUGACAGAAUAAAGAAUCGCGUGGCCCAUAUAGUUUAUGUAUUCUGCAAUAUGUAUCAUUGUUGUAUCACCGGUCUGUUAUCUUGUAUUUUGAGAUAUUCAUUUUUUUUUUAUCAGGAAAUCAGUUAUUUAACAUUGUCCAACUCCAAAUCUGUUGUCUAAAUAUUCACCUGCUCAUAUAUUAAAAGUUGGAUAGCUAACAUAAAAGCUUAUCUUUGCUUGUUGUCCAGAAAUAUAUUAUGCAUAUCCCGUUAAAAACGUGUGUGCAUCCUAAGAAAGUAUUCUAUAUUUGCCCCUUGAGCUUAGACAGAAAAAUAAUUUACCUCCACUUUUGCAAAAAAACUAAAUAAAACACUUGCAGAUUCAUUAAUGUUGGCAAAUACCGUAUUACAGAUAUAAAGAAUAAAAAUCUGGUUGGUGCUGUUCAGAAAUGAGGAUUAGGAUAGUUGGAACAUACGUUACACUGAGAUAUUAUUGCAUUACCAUCACCAAUUAAAAACUGUAUAUUUUUUUUCUUGUAGCUGGGGUGAUGGUUGGGGAGAAGCCGGCUAUGUGAGAAUGAAGAGAAACAUUAACCAGUGCAGUAUAGGCGUCAUGCCAGCGACUAUGGAAUUCACAUUCAAUUAAAAAACACCUCGAGCAGCAACACAAAAUUCAGUGGUUGACAAAGAAGAAUAUCCCUCUCCAUGAAUUGGCUUUUGUUUUAUUAAAUCUUCACUUGGUGAUUUUGAGAUGGGCUCCACCUACAUAAAACCGAUAAAUGUUAUCAUGGCAUAUGGUUUAUUUUUUAAUUAAAGGAAAUGUUUUUAACUUGUAUUUUCUAUUGUAUUUUUUUAACAUAAAGUGAACUUCAUUAUAAUGGAAGCUAGAAUUAAUAAAAAGAGCUAAAAUGUAAAAUGAGGUAACUAUAGCGAUUAAGGAACAGCCUUAAAAACUAAUUUCAUAUAAAAAUUCUAAAUUUAAUCAUCAACCAAAGUGAUCUAACAGUGCGAACUGAAGGUCAAUUCAAGGAGAAUUUCAAAUUUAAGGUCAAAACAGCCAAGCAUGAAAAAAUCCCAAAGUCGGUCAUAAUUUCAUUUCAGCUACUCUAGUCUUAAAUUUGAAAUUCACUUUGAAUUCUCACUUUACAAAAUAGCUCUGUAAGAGAUAACUGAUAUGUUUGAUCUCUGAGACUGCUCCAAAAAAUAUACAGGAUUCAUUAUACAUGUACCCCAAUAAAAAUUGAAGCUCUCUAAAAAACACUCUAAAGAAAAACUAUAUGUAAAAUAUAUAUAUAUUAACCCCUUGGUGACCACGGACGUACAGGGUAUGUCAGCCAAAAAAUGGUUGUUAACAACUGCUGUACCCUGUCCCCAGCACUACAAUUCCAGUCCUCCCAUUACAGUUCCCUAUCUUCCCACUAUAGGCACUAUUCCCCCCACCACAGGCCAGGGCCAACCCAUUGUGCUGCCUGUAUGAAAUUCUGCCCCAUCACAUGUAGCACACCCACGAAACCCCACCCACAUCCAUUAAGUUAGGUCCUUUUGUGUGCCCUUCUCACUCCCCCAUAUUGCUUCUACUUAUCUCUCUUCAUGUAGUGUGGCUGAGGUUCAGUUCUCUCACUGAUCACUUCCUGUCAGACCGGGUAGAGGAUAAAAUCUUCCACUGUCGCCUUUCUAGCGGCCCUCCAUGACAGUGUACAGCUGCAGAUAGACUGCAGAAGCAUGGCGUACCUGACCGGGAGCAACCGCUCAUCGCCCUUGAACUCUGUUUUGGUCUGCUAAAACUUUAAACAGAGCACUCUCAGUCCCAACACACCUAACAGUGUGCUUUUUUGGAGGUGAGAUAAAGGAGGGGGUGAGGCACCCAGCGAUAACCAAGCUUGGCAAAGGACCUAAGGGGUCAAAACGUUGUGUGGCUCUUGGGUCCAAUAAAAUUGCCUAUCAUUUGGAACAAUUUGGAGUGCCUGGAUUACUUUCUACAAUUAUACUUUAUGCAUGGUCUCUUUGGUACUGGAACUGAUCCAGCAGCACCCUGAGAUUCCAAAGCGAAGAAUUGAGUGCAGUUCCACCAUCUAUAUAUCAAUAUUUGUGUAAGGUUGAGUACAGUAUUCUGGAACAACCCAUCUUUUUUUUAUGUAGUUAUAAAGAAAUGCCAUUUUCCAUUGUUUAACAGACCUAGAGUAUUAGUUGGAGAGAGAGAGAGCCCAAAGAAGGUUUAAAAACCCACAAUUUAAGGUAGUUUCAAUAAAUGCCUAUGGCAUCAACACGCCUAGCAAUAGUUCCAUAAUUUUUGUUUUUUUUGAUUAAAAAUCGGAUACAAAUUUGUGCGCUGCAAGAAAUUUACUGUGAAAAAUCUAACAAUAAUAUAAUUAGCUCAGCAAAAUACCCCAUUAUUAUAAGUGCUGCUCUGGGAAAAAAAAAAAGGUGUGGCCUUCAUGUUUGCCAAAAAUGUCUCACUAAAUAUUAAAUAUUAAAUAUCAAGAAUUAGAUCCACAAAGCCGAUAUAUUAUUUUACUAUGUGAAAUAAAUUAUGUUAUUUACACUAGUUAAUAUUUAUGCACCAAACAAAUUUACAAUGCAUUUUAUUGCAAAAGUGUUUAAGAAAGUAGAGCAAAUUCAACAAGGACUGACAUUAAUUAUGGGGGAUUUUAACAGUGUGAUUGAUCCAUUAAAAGAUAGAAAGUCAGAGUGAUAAAAAAAUCAGGAUACCAAAUGAGGAUAGAUUGCAAAAUUUACUGAACAACUACAAUUUAAGAGAUAUAUGGAAAAUAUUCCACCCUUCUGAUCUGGAUUAUACAUGUUACUCUAAAACAUAUAACUCUUAUUCUAGAAUAGACCUCAUAUUGGGAAAUGUGAGCAUGCUGUAUCGUGUUAAAAGAAUGUAAAUACAAGAUAUAACAUGGUCAGUCCAUAGUCCAAUCGUGUUAGAAUAUAAAGAUACCUUUGGCAUCUUUCGUAAAGAGUGGCGUUUGGGAGACCAUAUACUACAAAAAAAUAAAGUUGAAGAGAUUAAUAAAAUAACUAAGCUCUUUUUUAAAAAAAAAUAACAAGAAUAUACCUAUCCUCCCUCAUACACAAGUAUGUCCUGUCGAGACCCCUGCGCUCCGCCCAAGACCUACGCCUAUCCUCGGAUCCCCACCUCUGAUGCUCGCCUUCAAGACUUCUCCAGGGCUGCACUUUUUCUGUGGAACUCCCUUCCCUCCUCAAUCAGACUUUCAGCCAGCCUCCACUCCUUCAAAAAAUCUUUGAAAACUCACUUCUUCAUUAAAGCGUAUCAAUUAAACUGUCAGCAGGUUUCUCAUCCCCCACCCCAUGACUCCGUUCCUGCACCUGUCAAAAAUGACCUACCAACCACUCAAUAAACCCUUCUGUAACAAACUAUUUAAUUCCCCUACUUUAACCCUUUGUGUCACUAUACCCCACUCCCUCUAGCAUGUAAGCUCAUCGAGCAGGGUCCUCAACCCCCUCUGUUCCUGUACGUCAGUGGUCUGAUCUCAAUUAUGUGUCUGUUAGUCCACCCAUUGUACAGCGCUACAGAAUUUGUUGGCGCUAUAUAAAUAAUAAAAUAAUAAUAAUAAUAAUAGACAGACAGAUGGUUCUGUCACACAGAAUACCUCAUUAAAAGUAAAGAGAGGAAAGUAACUAGUCUCAUCCACCUCUUUGAACUAAAAAAUUAUAAAAAUCUGUUGACAAAAUGUGUUAAGGUUAUAUAUAAAUGGAGACAUUAUAGACAUAUAGAACUGAUCAAAAAAUGGGAACAAGAACUACAAGUACAUAUAGCGGACGAAGAUUGGAUAAACUCCCUAAGUAAAUUAUAUAAAUAUAUACACUGUCUAAAUCUUACAGAAACACAUUUUAAACUUUCAAAUAGAUGGUAUUUAACACCGCAACGUUUAAAGAGAAUUUACCCAGAGACAUCGGCUAGGUGCUGGAGAUGUGAUAUUAGCAAAGGCAACCUAAUCCAUAUUUGGUGGCAAUGCAUACCUAUAAACAAUUAUUGGAAAGAUAUAAUAAAAGUAAUACAACAAAUAACUGAGAUGAAAUUAGGCUUUGAACCUGGAGUAAUCUUAUUAAAUCUAGGGUGGCCAAUAAUUAAAAAACAAGUAAUAAUGUUAAUAUUACACAUUACAAAAGGCAGCCAAACUACUCUUAGCAUGAAAUUGGAAAACAAGAAAAAUCCCAAGUAUCAAAUAGGUAAUAUCACAAGUCAUCUGGCAGGCAAAAAUGGAAAAGGGUAUUUUAAUGAAUUUGGGAAAAAUAUAUAUCCAGAUAGAAGAGUGGGACAUGUGGAUAGAGAAAAUGGAAACACUAAUCUAAUAAUUACACAAAUAUGUAAGAAAGCUUCCCCGGAAAAAAUGGGCAAAUAAAAAAUAAAUUAAAAAAAUAAUAAAACAGUAAAGCAGAUAGGAUGGUGAUCUCUCUCUCCAAAGACAAACAAAUAAAGAAGAAUGGAAAUAAUGGAAUUUGUAAUAGGAGCUAAAAGAAAUGUUGGGGGUAGGGUACAGGGUGUGGAUAAUUGGGAGUUAGAUAAGGCUUGAAGAAUUUAGUUUUCUCCCUCUUGCUGCCUUUGUCUUUCCCUAUCAAUUAACUUAAAUUAGGAAAGAAACAAACCCAAAUCACUGUUUGGGAAGCUCAAUAAAGGGAUGGGAAUCCAAGGGGAAGAAGGAAGGGAGAAAACAUUAAUGAUGACAGAAAACCAAUGCCUAUACUUCAUAUGUAAUAACGUAAUUAUAUAAUGGCAGGUACAAGUCUGAAAUGUUGUAAAAAAAAAAAAUUAAAUACAUUAAAAUUUUUUUAAAAGACUUGUGUAAUGUAUGGGGGAAAAGCCUAUAUCACUACAGCUAUUAUCAUUUAAUUACUCUGGAGAGCUAUAAGCACUGAGGGAAAGGGAAUCUAUAGCAUUGAUACUCUGGUGAUCUGCAGCACACACACUGCCCAAUACAUACAUAAACAAACACAGCAAGCAGCCCUCCCUUACACACACAGGUGGAGGUUUCCAAACAGCCAAUUAGAAGUAUCUCUUCCAGGCACAGGGCGGGGGCGGCAGCUCCUGGAUGCUGAGCCAUCUUCAGGAAAAUUCUGCCUGUCCACAUCCUGCCUGGAUGCCUGAGGGGGUGGGGUAGAUGAGCAGUGCAAUUACGGAUUCCACUCAGCAACAUGCCUCAUUCUCCAUCGCUGCCAGCAUGUGUUCACGUGGGGGAUACAGCCAGUAAAUCUGCAGAAAAAGCCCCCUCAACUAUGUGAAGUCCUGGGCAAAUUACCCAUUGGGCGGAAGAAUACACAUGGAGGUAGGGAAUAAUUUAGGGGGCACCUGCCCCUAUUUAGUGGCCCCCAUGGAGGAGUGUGAUAAGCAGCAUAGGAACAAGUUUUGACACGGGUGGCAUCAGAGUGCCGCCUGGAGCCAUGACCCCACGGGACUUAUGGACAGGCCGGCCCUGCUACAGCCCCUAUUCUCCCACUAGGCCUCAAUCUCCCCCACUACAGCCCCAAGCACAAUACAAAGGUGUAUUCCGUCUGCCCCUAUCAACCCCAGCCCCUUCCGAUCCUGUCUAUAAAAGGUUCACUUACCUGAUUAUUAUACAUGGCAGAAUUUAAUCAUGAUUAGCUUCUCUCCUCAUUGCAGAAAGGACAGGAAAUAGAACUCUGAAAUUGGUAGAAAUAGAUCCUCCUCUCCAACAGGCAGUCUAUAUAACUAGCUUCACAACUCUCAUAGAUGGGUGAGAACAUAAUGCGGCCAUGUAUAAUGAUCAGGAAAAGAAAAUUAUGGUAAUUAUAAAACAAUUUCCUUAUUCCUGAUUCCUGAUAAUACAUGGUAGCAUUUACUCAUGGGAAAAACCCAAGUGGCAUAACUGGAAGUGGUAUAACUUCCAGACACCAAACUGUAACAAUCCCUGAAAUUCCAGACACUACUGAAUCAAAACAGGCAUACCCUGCUAUCAAACAAGAAGGAGCAUUAAAUUGAAAAUUCCACUUUUUUUCAGGAAGCAUGGAUUCUUAAUGACAGAAUUCACACUGCCUCAUCUUGUCUCUUGAGCUACUUACCUGUAGAUACAGGAAACAAAACAAUAUAUGUCUGUAAGAACAAGGCAGAGCCUAGCAGAGAAAUAAGAGGAUCUAUUGUAAAAAUACUGCAGCAAUGACUACAUAUUGCAAAUAUCAGACUCUCAACUACACCCCAAACUGUGAAUGAAUUGUUUGAUACAGUAAUGAUCAUUUACAGGAGAGCUAGAAACCAAUAACACAAAUAGUAGAUGUGAUGAAGUUCCGGGACUCCGACCGAGUACCUCCGCCAGGUUCGCUUUUUGCUGCCACAGGAGACUCAGCACUUCCGACUCAGUUGCUGAAGCUUGACCGGGAUCUCUCCAGAACUCUUCUCAGACAUCCCAACAUGCAAAAAUGCAUUUCAGGGAGGUAUCUUCCUGCCUACCAGUUAAUAUCCCAGGGGCUCGGGCGACUCUUAACCGGGCCCCUGAUUAGUAUAUAAUAUGGAGGUGUUAGGGGGCACAAAUCAUACCCUUAUAAUGGAAAUCACACACACACACAUCACAUUGUGUGUGUAAUUUCUGGGAUAUUGUGUUUGACUUGGGGGUGUCAGGGAGCCACAUUCAAAAUGCAGGAGUCCGGAACACUUGGGAUGUCUUCCACCCAGGUUAUCAAGUAACAAUGAAUAGUUUGUUUUUCAGUUGCUACCAUCACAAGCCUCUUUCAGUGGCUCUUGGGACCAGGUCCAUAGUCUGUGGGCAAGAGCAGGCCUUCAAGCCUCUGCAAUAGGCCAUGGCAUGGAAUCUUCUGACACUAGGCAAAGGCAAGAAGGAGCACACAAUUCAGAUAGCAGUGAAAGAAUAUACCACGUGUAUCAGAAACACCUUAAUGGGAAAAAGGAGAAAAUAAAGGUAAAAAAGUGAAACUAAUUUACCUUAGUUAAUUAUCUGCAUGUAGAGUAGGACUCCUACAGGUCCUCAAUCAUAGACAAUACCAAAAAAACAAAUACCAAAAAGCAGGUAGCUACAUUGCAAAAAUAAAGAGAAAACCAUAGGGGAAUAGUGCAAUAUACAAAGUGAUAUUAAGGUUUAAAAAUGCACACUCACGAACCCAAAUUGAUUGAAGGUGUAUCAAUACAUUGAAGGGUAUCCUCGUAUCAGGAUUGAAUCAUAUAGGAGAGAAAAUGAAGAAGUGAUAGUGCAGAGUUUCUAUAACAAUUUCUAGUGUGCAUUUUUAAAUCUUAUUAUUACUCUGUGUAUGGCAAUAUUGCCCUAUGGUUUUCUCAUUAUUUUUGCAUUGUAAUUACCUGCUUUUUGGUAUAUGUAUUAGCAGUGAGAGAAUAUCAGAAUAAACCAUAGAAAUGAUGGCAACUACUUAAUUAUAAGUGGGAAAUGUAGGCCAACAACAUGAGGACAUACAUUCAAAGACUAAAAUAUUGUAAAUAGUACAAAUGCCUAACAGUAGAAUAAAAUGAUUAAAGACUGUUGAUCAACAUAAGUAGGUAACAUGUUAUAGGUAGACACCAAAGAAAGAGUCACAGGAUACAUUGUGGCAAGAGACACAUAAUAAUAAACAUAAAAAGCAGAAUAGUUUAAAAUAUUCAGUUGUCCUUAUGAGAACAAACAACCACAUGCUUACCCUGACCUUAUCUUGAGAUAGUGAUAAAGGACUUAAGGCAGAGCAUAUGGUGAUGAUAAGAUCCUUGUGCAGCUUGUUGUAUCUGCAAAGCUUUCAACAUCAGUCCAUGCAUAUAAUUGACAAAUACUACAUCAAUGCAAUGUCAGGAAUGAAUGUCACUAAUACAGAUCUAGUUACAGAGACGAUGUGAAGCACAUCAGUCAAAUGUUUGUCACAAACAAGCACAAUAAUAUAUUAUGAUGACUCCACUGCAUAAAGCCACACAUUGACUGUAAAGUCCAGAUAGUAGGUGUCACGGGUUCGCUAGUCUAUUGCUGUUAUUCCUUCAAUCCUCCACUAGUCCUAAUUCCAGAUGUGCUGAAUAUGGUGAUAGUAUUAUCGCUGUGUAGAGUUUCCCCAAUAUAAUGGACCCAACAGUUGUAUCAGGUACAAGAAGCAAUCUGAGCUUUAUUAGGCAACACUCGGCUUUUUAUACAGUGCCUCUAGCAUGGUGUUUCUAAGACAAAAUCACAGGGGUUUCCUUCCCACAAGCCAUUGUGUUUGAGAGAUAAUUGAGCUCCAAUUAAGAUAACUCAAUUAUCUCUCAAAUAGGAAAACAUGCAUACAAGUUUUACAUAUCACGAAAAUACAUGAAAACAGCAUAGGAACCCCAUAAAAAUACAGCCCCUUUAGCCCAGAAUAGCCCCUAUAUGAACACACAACAUAUCAAAAAAGCACACAGAUCGGUUCAGUAGAAUGUGAGUUAGGUUCGAACAAAGUUUUGACCUACUGGCCAUGAGGUGGUAGCCCAAAACAGUUCCAGAGAAUUGCCAGGCUGGCCGGUGGACUUUUGGGGGUACCUGUGCAUACACCAACAAACACAUACCCUAGCUUUUAUGAAAUUAAUGCUUCCUUUGUUUGGUAGUUUCUUACUCCCGAACGCCGUUCUCCUAGCUGGUAGGGAAAUCGAACGGGCAGGGGUACUAGUUUCAGCGGAGUUCGCGAGCUUGCGCAGCCAACUUAGAGAUCCAUGCCGUUGGCAACCAUGUACCACUGCCUGCGUUCCAGAGACAAGAUGGCCACCCAGGGAAGUACUUGAGGUGAUUGCUUGGUUGGGCUUAACAGCCAGGCGUGGUCUGUGAUUACGAGUUGUUAACCACACAUAGUCUGUUCGGUAACCAAACAGAGGGGAACGGAUAGCUGAACACAAGGGUACAAUUAUCAGGUAGUGAUUCCAUUCUAAUGCAGGGGGAUAUCAGACAAAACAAAGUACAAAUAAAGGAACAUGUACGAGCAGUCCCAUCUCCCGUGAGAGUAGGACACCUAGAAAAACACCCUUGAACAUUAGAACGGAGGUCAGUAAUGGGACUAGAUGUUCAGAGAUUUCCCUUAUUGUUCUGGUAGCAAGAAAAUUUCACCUGAAAUAUUAAACCUGUGAGAAUAGUCCGAGGACUGAAGAGACGUUCCAUUGGUAAUAAAAACACUUGCAAUACCCAGUAACAAUAUUAGAUGGAGAUUAUGAGAUUUAGAGAAAAAAUGUAAUCGCAGAAAAUAAAUAAUAAUAUUCCCCCCUGAGAACUUCACAACAGGGAAAUCUAGAGGAAAUUCUGAUUCUAACCACUUAAUAACCAAAAGCAUGCCACCCCAGACAUGCAUUAAAGGCAUGGUCUAAGUCAAAAUCUCCAAGGCAUUAAAUAGCAGAAUACUGAAUCUAACAAACAGUAUAUUCUCACAAUUAUACAUAUUAUGCUUUAAGGGAAUUCACUACAUUCUAAAAAAAUUCAAAACCAACUGCAGAGCAUUGAGCUAAAAUCUGAAUAAAAAUUAUAAACCAGACCAGGAGUUGCGCAUUUGCAUAGUAGAAUCCUGCAGAAAUUAAAAAUGAUUACUAAAGUUGUCCCUUGGUGAUACAAAGAGCUAAUAUUUACAGCUUUUAAAUCAAAGUCAAAUUAUAUUUGAGAAAGUAAAUCAUACCAAUGAAAACAGUCAGGUAAUUGCUUCAAAUAGUUACUUGCUCAUCGGAGCAAUAAAUAGCCCCAGAUGGAUGCCUGCAAUCAGCAAGAUCUACUAAGCUUUUCACCUGCAAUCAGCAAGCUCUAUUAAGCUUUUCACCUGCAAUCAGCAAGAUCUACUAAGCUGUGUGCUGGCAAUCAGCAAUAUAUACUAAUUGCACGUGUAGGUACUGAGGCUGUGUUUCAAUAGUACAUCAUACAGAGACUACAUCUACUAUAUACAGUGAAACUAUGUCUCCACAUCAGGGGAAAUGCUAAGAUUAUAUGAGUUAGAUAAAUUGAGACUGUGUUUUUACAGCACUUCAUGCACUGAUUAUAUCACUCAUAUAUACUGAAGCUGUGACUAACAGCAACCCACAGAGCUUGUGUUAGACUUGUAUACAUAAGUCAUCUUCACAAUCGUUCAUACACAAAGAUUAUAUUGGACUCAUAUAUAGAUGUUGUGUCUUUUAAACCAUUCACAUAUACUGUUGUAUUUUCACACCGUGCCAUGCCAAUUCUCAAGCACCCUUCCUAGCUGCCCUCAGAAGCAGAAAAGCUCCAGAGGUGCCUGUAUGCAUUUGCACAGCUGUAAAACAACAAAUUACAUUACAUUGUUGAUUUUGAAGUCCUAUGAGUGUGUUCUUCACUCUGGCUGAGAUCAUCAAACUUGAUGAUCUUAGCCAAUCCAAUUCUUUCCCACUGGAAAAUUGGAAGGUUAUUGUGCAUGUGUGACAAAAAGCUACACGGCCAGUCAGCAUCUCCAUGGGGAGCAUUCAGCGCCUCCAUGCAGGCCCAAUCUGAUACACUGCCCUACCCUCCAUUCUAAUACAUUGCCCCCUCCACGUUAAUACACUGUCCACAAAUCCAAUACAUUCUCCUUAAAUCUAAUACACCGCCCCCUCCCUCCAUUUUUAUAUUCACUUUCCCCUUCACCCAAUUGAAUACACUGCCCUUAAAUCGAAUACACUGCCCCCUACCUCCACUCUAACUGAACACACUGCCUCCUUACCUCCCCCAAAGUAAUACACUGCCCCCAUCCAUCCCCCAAUUUAAUACAGUGCCCUUCCACCAACUUAACACACUGCCUUCUUCCCCCAACUUAACACACUGCCCCCUCCCAUCACUCUAAUACACCGCUUACCUCCCACCACUCUAAUACACUGCUCCCUCCCACACUGCACCACACCAACACUCUCAUGCUGCCUUUCUCCCUCCCCCAAAUGAAUACCCCUCAAUUUAACACAUUGCCCCCUCCCACAAUUCUAAUACAUUGCCUCCCUUUCCCACCACUCUAAUACACUGCCCACUACCUCACCCAAAAUUAUGCAUUGCCCCCUCCAUACCCCAAAUGAAUGCACUGCCCCCUCCCUCCCUCAAAUUAAUACACUGACCCCCUCCCUUCACAGAAAAGGGGCAUACCUGUGAAUCAGUGAAGAGAUAUAACAGGGGCUAGAGUUGUUCAGUGCUUAAUAGGUAUGGGUUAGUAUUUUGAAAUUGACCCCUAUAGUAUACACAAAGUAAAGACAGAUAGAGGGGUGAGAGGAGCAACUGGAAAGGAAAAUCAGCCUGGUGGCUACAUUCAUUACAAACUAUGGCAAGGUAAAACAGAUUCUGGGGAGACCAAUUAGGAGAGAAUUACAAUAAUCAAUGUGAGAAAUUACUAGAGUAUGAACAAGCUCCUUAGCAGCAUCAUGCAUAAGAAAGGGGUGGAAGCUGGCAAUAUUUUUAAGAUGGAAUCGACAGGAUUUGGAAAACAGACUGGACAUGAGGCUCAAAGGUGAGGCCAGAAUCAAAGAUAGCACCAAGACAGGGAGCUUGCAAGGAGAGCUGAAGCGCAUACUUGCAGGGAGAGUGGAAGAAGAGGAUCAAUAUUAUGAGAAGAAAAGACAAGAAACUCAGUUUUAGAGUGAUUGAGUUUCAGAAAGCAGGAGGACAUGUAUGUUUGUAGUAGGGUUGCAGUAUCCAGGGCAGUGAUGAGGCUAGUGUUAUAUGAGGAGAUAGCAAGUCAGGGACAGGAAAAGGUAGGGAUGGAUGAGUGUUGAGAAUGGACAUAAGCUGAGAGCUUUUGAAGGUCAAUAAAAUUCAGGUUUUAACCUGAGUUGAGGGGGGAUAGGCUGAGGAUGUUGGGCGAGGGGGUUCUCAUGAGCAAAUCAGAAGAGGUGGAGAUCUGAGAGAUGGAAUGGUCAUUUAUAGAGAUUAGAGAUUGUGCAUGCAUCUGAAAAAUAAGUUCAAGGUUGUUGCUAACCAUGUGGGUGUAUGUAUUAACCCACUGCAAUAGCCAAAGGGAGGAAGUAAUUGAAAGACGUUUUGAAGCUACUGAGGUAAAUGUUGAAAUAAUGGGAAUGUUGAAGUCCUCAUGGAUGGAAUAUUAAAGGAAAGGAAGUAGGGAAGUCAGGCAGCAAAGUGGUCAAGGAAGAGAAGAGAGGGACCGGGGGAAGCGAACAAUACAACAAGAAACAGAAAUAUUUGCAGAUAUGGGUUUAAACAGGCUUAUUAAUAAGAUCAGUACAAACCAGAGAAGAAAGGGAAUAAAUAAAACAACCUGCUUCAAAAUGUUCACUUUACUUUGUGUACAUAAAUCAGACUGUUUUGACAGUCCAUUUUAAUUUAGUGCUAAUUCAGGAUAAAAAUAAAAUAAAAAAAAAAUAAAAUAAAAAAAUUUCCUGUUUUUUAUUUGUAUUAUUUACUCUGCAUUUAAUAUUGCUUUUGCAUGUAGAUUUUCCUUUUUUUCUUCUUUCAUUCUCUCUUUCCUUUCCACUAUUUCCUGUUUCUUUAUUCCCCCAUUUCCUUUCUUCCCUGCUUUCUGCUCCCCUUUCCUUCACUUCUCAUCUUUUACCUUCCAAUUAUACAUUCCAGACCAACAAUGGUUUUCAGAGGAGCUCCAACCAUUAAGCAGAAAUAAUUCCAAGCCCUUGAAACUAAAAAACAUUUUUUUUAAAUUAAAAUAAAGGUUUUUAUAAAUGUGGACAAUGCUAUAUAUGCAAAACUACAGGACCACCUUAUGGAAAAAUAACUAGUUUUAAAUCAAACCAGACCAAUAAGAUUUACGAUAUUAAGGAGUGUAUUACCAGUAAUUCCAAACAGGUAAUAUAUUUACUGCAAUGUGAGUGUGGAUUCCAGUAUGUUGGGCAAACUAAAUGUAUGUUGAAAGCUAGAUUAAGAGAACAUACUUAUAACAUUAAUAGAAAAUUUGAAAACCACACUCUGUACAAACAUUUCGCUGAAAGCCACAAUGGUAACGUCAAAACAAUAAAAUACUGUGGGAUUCAACUAGUCCACAUACCAUGGAGGGGAGGUUCAGUGAAAAUCUAAAAUCUUUAAUUCCAUUUGUAUUAAAUGCGGAACUAGAACUACUUAACAUUCUAUGAAAAUAGAGUUUAGCCCAUCCUAUUUUAAUAGUCUCUGUAUACACUAAUUUUUAGGAUUUUAUUAUGUCUCUUCUUUUUUAUUUAUUAUUAGUUCUUCUUUUAUUAAUUGUUUUAAUUGAUUGAUUUCCUAUUGAUAUAUAUAUAUAUAUAUAUAUAUAUAUAUAUAUAUAUAAAUAUAUAUUUAUCAUAUAUUAACAUCCUCUGCAUUUUUAGGUUCAUUUAUAUAUUAUAAAACAGUAAGUGUAAUAUUAUGAACAUCAAUUUACAAGAUAAUUUUACUUCUAAUAAUUUACACAUUUUUGAUGUCCAAAAAAUAUUUAUUUUUUGGUAAAUAUGAUAUGUAGUGAUUUAUUUUUUUGCUUUUCUUCUUCUUUUUUUAUCGCAAUCUAAAUUGUGUAAUUUGUUAUGUUAUUCUGUACCUCCAUUAGAAGAAAAUAUCUAACUCUUAUAACACAGUAAAAAUAACAAUUUCAACUAUACUAAAGUGUGUGUGUGGAGUAAGGGAUUAUUUUUGUAUGUCAUGGUAGUUGUCUUUAAGUUUUCUCAAAUAGCUGAAAUGGUAUUUUCCUAAAGAGUUGUUACCAGCUGGGCACAGAAAUUGGUCAAAUGGAUUGUAUAUUAUAAAAGAUUAUUCCAGAUUAACUCCAAGGGAUGUUAGGUGUAAGGAGGUUUUUUUUUUUUUUUUACCAUGUUUGCUGUUUGAGGAGACUUUAUGAGACUGAAGAAUGUGGUCACCAAGAUAAAUAUGGAUGUAUUUGAAUUGGUAGAUAAAAGAAAGCUUAGAAUUAUACCAGGGAAAUGCCACUAUGAAAAGAGAAUAAAAUUAAAUAAGCUCAAAUAGGUGCAGAGUGGGAAAAAUUAAAUGAUUUUACUAGUUCCCCUAUUGACACCUUGUAAAGGAGUGGGGGAGCGACAUAUUUCUAUAAGUGUCAGGAGGUGGAGGAAAAUCAAAAUUUAACAGACAAUUGUUAAUUUAGAGGGACUAAUAAGGGUCAUUUUAGAGUUCUGUUUGCUUCUGUUAAAAUAUAUAGUGUAUUUGUUCAUCUAAGUAUGUCUUCAAAUUAUUUUAAAAAUAUCUCAAAUGGUUUGCACACAGUUUGAUCUACAUAUUCAGAAUUUAGUAAUUAUUCAAACUGCAUUUUCCAUUUUUAGCUUUGCCUCUUGCAUAUGUAAAAUGCUCAAGAGACAUUAAUAGGGUUAUUUUUAACCCUAUUCUUAUAUGUCAAUAUAUUUUAAACAUAAUAUCAUUGUUUACAUGUGGAACUUCAGAUAUAUGUUUUUUCCCUCUCUCCUCUUUUAUUAUUAAGUUACGCUGUCAACGUAAUAAAAUACCACCAAAAGAUACCACAUAUUUCCUCUUUUGUUGUGAUUUCCUUUCUCUGUUAUAUCAUAUCAAUCUUAAAUCUUAUCAGUUCUGUGAUAGGUCAAACUGUUUUCACAUAUCUGAUUCUUAGCAUGACUUGCCGCAAGUAAGAAUUCUAUUGGUGGGGAGAAUUAUAUAUAAAGACCAAUAUUUUGAAAGCUCUUCAUUCACCGAGACCUGAAGGAGCUCCUGGUCUUGGGAUCACAUCAGGCAGGUACGUUACCAGCUUAAUUGCAGUGUACAUGCUAUUUCAAACAUAGAAUGUACAUACAGCAUAUUAACUUAGGAAAAAACUAUUGUGUGUGGUUAAACAGUUUAUAAACCUAUCUUGCCUCCUUUAUGAUAAGAACAUUUUGAUGUUAGUUGUGGAUGGAUAUUUAUAGUUUUCAUAUUUCAAAACAAAAACUUUGCUGUGCAAGAUGUAACUGGCCUAUGUAAACUUAAGACGUACUAUUGGUUUACUUUAGGAUGCAGUUCAAUAAACUUCUAUUCCUCUUCUCAACAAUUGUUGUCUGCGCUUCGGCUGCACAUUUCCUUGAACAAGAAUGGAAUCUGUGGAAAUCUAAAUACGGUAUGUAAUUACACAGAUACACACAUGUAUGAGUUAUGCUAAUUAGUGACAUGUACAUACAAACAUAACUAUGAUUUGUUUAUUGUUUAUUAAUUCUGUGUCAAUGCAAUAAAAGAUUUAGUUGGUUUCCACGAUGUACGUUAAGUGCCUUGCCACAUAAUUGUAAGCUUGUUAUCGCCUUAUUAUAUUCUUUACUCUAUGUAUUUGCGGUUUCUCUUAAUUACAUUAAAUAACUUCAAUAUAUUUUAAAUAUAUAAUAGCCCUAAAGAUUGUCAGAAACUUAUAUUGCAAAUGCAAAGAUUAUGAACAUACAUAUUAAGAACUUUAACUGUGUUGCUGGACAAGAAAAAAAAGACAAAUAGUGGUUUGAUGGAUACGUACCGAUCAUUAAAAUGUGUGAAUGCUCAUCAAAAAACCAAAAGGCCAAUUUUUUCAACCAUACCUACAGCUCUAUACUACUGUAAUUUGCUCUAUUUGAAGGGCAAAUUACAUCACAUGAAAAGUGUUAGCAUUUUAACUGUUUUUAAUUACCUUUCCUUUUUUUAAAUAUUCAUUUUACUGGACUUGUGUGCUCGUAUCCGUCUUUAGUCUUGCAAGGGAAUAUGGGAAUUAAUAAAUACUAAAUGCGCAACAAAUAGUUAAAAAGCAAACAAACUACUUUGAGCACAAAGAAAGUUUAAAAUCUUUAUUGUGACUUCAAAUACAGUGCAGGAUUUGUCCAAAGGUUGUGAAUUAACUUGUUUCAAUGGUUAAAUUCCAUGGCAGGAAAACAAUAUGACACAGAAGAAAUUGAGCUGAAUCGCCAAGAAGCAUGGUUAGCCACGAGGGAUCUGGUGCACCAACACAACCAGCUGGCAGAACUAGGUCUUAAAAACUACACUUUGGCAAUGAAUCAGUUUGCAGAUCUGGUAAGUUUUCUGAAACCAUUCUGUAAGAGUAUUAUUCAUUUAAUUAAAGUUAGAUUUUUUUUGUUUCUAUACCAGAUUAUAUAAACAUCUAAAAUAUUAUUAUUAUUAUUAUUAUUAUUAUUAUUAUAUACUAUAUAUAGAUAAGCAGCAUUUACAAUGCCACUAGAUAAUAGUAGUGGCAAUUUUAACUAUAGAAAAAAAAAACAUAGAAAAGAGCCACCAUCAAUGGUUUUGCAAUAACAUUAAUGGAUUAUAAAAUAUGGACCACUGGAAAUGUAUGGAAAAGAGUGUGGGAGCAACUACAUUAAUUUUUGUUGACUUCUUGGAAAAGGACAUUUUUACAUUUCAUUAAGUAGUUUUUAUAUAUUAUUUAAAAAAAAUGUAAAAUGUUUUAUUUGCAUAAUAUUGCAUUUAGUGAAUGGAAUGAAGUGAUUGAAAUGUUUUUUUUUUAUAAAUAUGGUUAUCCUGUUUCAGACCCCAGAAGAACGGGCUUCCCACAUCAGCCUUGGUUUGAAAGGACAAUUGGCAAUUUCACACCAUACCCAUAUUCGCCAUGGAAAUCUGCCUGUUAUUCCUGAUGAAUAUGACUGGAGAAAUUCAAAAUGUGUGACUCCAGUUAAAAGUCAAGGAGAAUGUGGCUCAUGUUGGGCAUUUGCUACGGUAAAAACGAUUUAUGAGCUUAUAAGAAUGGGUUUAUGCUACUAAUAUGUUAAGUCAUGGUAAAUUCACAAUGAAUAACAUUAGAGUGUGACUUUCAAUAUUGAGGUCUAUUAUGUUAGCCAAGAAAUGUCCUUUUACAAUGUAGUGCCUGGGGCAAAAGAGAGCAGAUAGAUAAACUGAACUUAAUCAUUUGAGCUGCCAUCUUGUUCCUCAUUCUACUUGAACUCGGAGUACAAUAUGGUAGCCUGUGGAGAGAUCUCAGUAUUUUUCAAGAUGAUCUUGCACAAGCUCAAUGACAUGUCAUCAAUAUCUAUUGUUCAUGCUUCAAAAUGAUGCCUGUUCCGAUCAGCACAAUUUGGCACAUUGUGCAGUCAUUUGAUUUUUUUUACACAUUUAUAGAUGCAAUCUCAUUGCAACUGUAUGAACUGUCAGGUUGUUCAAAGCUUACUACCGGUAGUAAUUUGUACCCAUACUUAGCUAUCCCACUAGUCAUAGUUCUGCCUGUACAUGGUUAAAGAAUUUGCUGUUUUUCUUGCAUCCUUUAAAAGCAAGGUUUUUUGUAAUUUUUAUUUGCCUAUUAAUUUAUGGAUAAUGUUCAAUAAAUUAUUAAUUCAUUACAAUUACAAUUAUUUAUAUAGCACAAACAUAUUAAUAAUAUAUAGUAUACAUAAGUAUAUAUACAUAUAUAUAUAUAUAUAUAUAUAUAUAUUUAGAGAGAGAGAGAGAGAGAGAGAGAGAGAAAAUCCACCCACAAAAAUAUAUAACAAUUUGACAUUUUAUUAGUAGUUUAUUAGUAUUUUUAUAUACUUUGACCUAUUAUUUAGAUGCAGCUAGCACUUAGGCAACUUGUGUGACUUUUAACCGGUUAACUGCUGCCUGUCAGUAGUCCUUCACAGCUGAGCUACUUCUUUGUGCUCCGCUGUGGUCAAGCAUAAGAUAACACCAUUCAGUGCAGGCAGCCGUUGUUACAUGAGAAUAUACUGCUAGGUAUCUUGCAGACAAAAUGGAGCCAGUUCAGCAACCCCUUAUUUUACACUUUACUGCUUGACAGAAACCUUUAAUUUAUUACGCUGCUAUGAUCUAGGCAGCUUUUGUGAUAUUUAAUUGGCUAAUCGCCGUCUGUCAGAAAUCUCUCAGCUGAACUAUUAUCUUUGAUCUUUUUGAGGUUAAGCACCAUAGAACAUUAUCAAUUGUUGUAUGUGGAGUUAACCCAUGUCGUUAGUUGUACUAUCAUGUAGGGAUUUACUUAUCCAUAUCUUUUAACUAUUGACAGCACUGGUUUAGCAGUUGUCUUAUCUCCCCCCCUCUUGUUACAGCUAUUAGUGAUAUAUAAUAUAGUAUCACUUCUAUUACUUGGGAAUACACUGUUAUAUUGUAGCUAAACAGUAUUGCUUCAGCAUUAGUGUUAUUAUGUAUACACUUUUACAGCUUAUAUAAGUAGUCACAGAGUUUUACUCGCUGUAUAGUCUCCAUUUACUCCUGCUGUUCAUAUUAUUUUUUCUUUUUUAUAUUUUAUUUUAGAUUUAUUUAUUAAAAGUUACUUUUUAAUCUACAAUCUUCUCAGUAAAUCAUACACAGGUAGAAUGGCAUUUGUUUCUUUUUUUGUUUAUUCUCUAUGAUAUUCACCAUUUAGGGGUUACCCCCCUUUUUUUUGUGCCCUCUACCUUGUGAUAUCUAAAUUUUGGCCCUAGGUUAAUUAAUUUUUUUCAUUUUCUUUGUAUAAUAUUUUUAUCAUCUGAUCUAACAAUAAUGGCAUGUAUACAAUACUAAUGAAAAUUACAAGCUGGAAUAUCCUUUUUUUUGUAUGACAAUUCUCUUUAUAUUUUCUUUGUUGCGAUUUUCUUUAGAGGUAUUUGUGGAGACAUAACCUACCUGAUUCCUGUACCUACCAAUCUCUGUUAGUGCAGUUGGUUUGUUAUUGUGUUUUGAUGUUUCUUGCUAAAUUAAACGGAUCUUAUGUAAAUUGUUUUUGAAGGUGAGCCUUAUUGAAACCCGGUACUGCCUUGAUAAGGGUAAGCAACUCAUAUUCAGUGAGCAGCAGCUUGUGGAUUGCGAUAAAGCAAAUGAUGGUUGUGAUGGUGGACUCCCAGUUAAGGCUCUGGAAUAUGUUUCCAAAAAUGGUAUUAUGAAGAGUGAUGACUACAAAUAUAAAGAAAAGGUAGGAGAAAAAAUGAAAAUAACCUACUAAGUUCUCAGCGAUUACUUUUCUCGCAACCUAUUUCAUUACCCCUACUAAUACCCUUUUGUAUCACUGUACCACACUCCCUCUAGCAUGUAAGCUCAUUGAGCCGGGCCCUCAACCCCUCUGUUCCUGUGCGUACAUUUGUCUGGUUACAAUUAUGUGUCUGUUAGUGCACCCAUUGUACAGCACUAUGGAAUUUGCUGGCGCUAAAUAAAUAAUAAAAUAAUAUUAAUAAUUUCAUCCCUUGAGACGAUCAUGUACAGUUCUUUUACAUUUAGAUUUUCGCUUGUGUAUUACUAUAAAUUGAAGAGAAUUUUGAGAAGUCACUGCACUUUGACUGACUGCCCCAAAACCUGACCAAUCAUACUGGAGAGGUAGAAUCAGCCAGUGAUAUAGAUUUGUUUGAGUGAGCUAGGGAUGCAUGGUUAUACAUACUGUGUGUGGACACAGGAUUUGGACCAGACACUGAAUACAAGGAGUAGAAUUAUAGCAUUGAUGCUAGAAUUAUAGCAUUGGGGAUUUUUUGGUAACCGUGGUAUAGAGCACAAAGUAAUUAGAUUUAGGGGAUUUGGGUAUCUCUGCUACAUAAUAUUUAUAUUAAAGAGGGUAUUUGUAUGGAUCAGGGGCCCUGUUCUCAACCUUGAUAACUCCUACCAUCAUUUGAAUAUGACAGAUAAAAAAAGGGAAGAGGUAAUUAAAAGCAAUUCUUCACCAUCCAGAAUAAGGGGGUCCUCUAGACCAUAACAGAGUUUGUUUCUCCACCAUAACUCAUAAGGUAUAGGGUAAAAUUAAAGCCAAGAGCUCUGCAAGGUAUGCCAUGGGCAGUCCAAGCACCAAGGGGUUUAAAGAUCUAAACAACUAGUAUGACAAUGUUUUCCUGUCCUUCCUAUGAGAGAUCAAGUUCAUAAAUUUAUUUUCGCUGUUUGUUUCUUUGUAGCAAGGUAAAUGCUUAUUUAACUCAAAUAAUGCAAUAAAGAUGAAAGCAAAAAAAUUCUAUUAUGUGAAUGGAGAAGCAAAUAUGGCAGCAUCAGUGGCAACUAAUGGACCUCUCACUGCUGGAAUUGGAGUUGAUGAUGAAUUUAUGCUGUAUGAAAAAGGUAAUUACUAACGAAGCAUGUUAAUGAUGCUAUAUUAUUUUUCAUGUCAAAGUACGUUAUGAGAUGUAUUCUUCUGAUUACUCAGAACGUCUAGUCAGUUGUAUACAAAGGAGACCCAACUAAAAAUGUUGUUUUAUUUAAAUAAAUUCCAGUAACUCUUGUGAUGAUGUCAUUUAAAAUAAAAUAUAGAAGAACUAGAAUAUUAUUAUUCAACUAAUGAAAUGUAUUUAACCAUAAACAAAUAAACGUAUUUGACAGUUCAGCUAGAUCAAUAAUUGAGAAGUUACCCGCAGUAAACAUAUAAGGAAUGAAAGUUGAGAUUCUGUUCUUGAUAGAAAUCAAUUAACAAUUUGCUCAGCAUGAGUUUGCCCCCAGGUUUAGCUUUUGAGUCUCCAGGUCCACAUGAGUUCUAUCUAACAAAGCCACAAUUUGAUUAAAUCAAUAUGGUGACAAUACUUGUUAUGGAAAUAGUGGCAGUUUAACUGAUGCUAUCUGUCUGUGCAAUGUAUCAUAAUUGCUAUUUACCAUAACAACUUUUUAGGAUUCAGGAUUGUAAAAAUCAAUCCAUAACUUGCUAUUCAGAAUGUAUGUCAUUUCACAAACUAGUUUUUAGAACAUGUAUUGAUCGUUAAGCUCCAGAUUGACAAACUUUCCAUCUCGAGCUCUACAAAUAAUUUUGACAUAACUUUAUUAAAUAUUUUUUUAACAAAUGUUAUUUUUAAGAGAUCAGCAAGUACAAUAUACAAUUGGAGAGGAAAUACAGGUGAAUGUUAAAUUAAUAGUGAAGUUAUGGACCAACUACCAAAUUAUCUUCAACACUGGAUGCAAUAGUGUAGUUAAGUGAAAGUGACAACCUUAAAUGUAAAAAAAAAAAAAAAAAUGCACAUAUAUGUAACUUAAAAAAAAAAAAUGUUUAAUCUUUUAUUUAAUUAAGGAAUAUAUGAUGGAACCUGUGCUGAUGGACCAAAUCAUGCAAUCGUCGUUGUGGGUUACGGCCGUAACUACUGGACAGUUAGGAAUAGGUAAAUGAUUAAUUUCACUUUGAUCUAUGUCUUUCAUUGCAUAUUGACAAAAAUGGAAAAUCACUUUUUUCACAGAAUCACAAAAAUCACAAAAGCUUAUAAGUGGCUGAUCUUUGGGUGACAUAUAACAUACAAUGCACUGUAAGCUAUUUCACCUAAGAGAUGCUGAGUUACAUUAAAAAAAAAGUUAAGUGAAGAUGAGUGCACUUCAAAUUCAAUGUGAUUACUCUCCGUUUCUUAAAAGAAAUAAAAAAAAUAACUUGGCUCAGCUCAAUAGCUCAGAAGUGUACCACCAUAGUUCAAUUUUGCCUUGAAGCAACACAGUCCCAGGGUUGAUUUUAGUUUCUGAUAAAUUAUUACAGAUUGUUUAGUUGAUACUUAUUAACUAAUGACAGAAUAUAAGAAUUCCGUGGUCCAUAUAGUUUGUCCAUUCUACAAUAUGUAUCAUUGUUGUAUCAACGGUCUGUUAUCUUGUAGUUUGAGAUAUUAAUCGUCUUAUCUGGAAAUCAGUUAUUUACUAUAGUCCAACUCCAAAUAUGUUGUUUAAUUAUAAACAUGCUCAUAUAUUAAAAGUUGGAUAGCUAACAUAAAAGCUUAUCUUUGCUUGUUGUCCAGGGAAAUAUAAAUAUUCAAUUAAAAACAUGUCUGUGCAUCCUAUAUUUGCCCCUUGAGCUUACACAGAAAAAUAUUAAUUCUUGAUAUUUACCUCCACUUUUGCAAAAGAAAAUACUUGCAAAUUCAUUAAUGUUGGCAUAAACCUUAUUACAGGUAUUAAGAAUGAACAUCUUGUAAGUGCUGCAAGGAUUAGAAUUGUUGGAGCAUAUACAAUAGUUUGAAAUAUUAUUGCAUUACAAUCAUUAAUUAAAUAUUGUAUAUUUUUUUUUUUGUAGCUGGGGUGAUGGUUGGGGAGAAGCCGGCUAUGUGAGAAUGAAGAGAAACAUUAACCAGUGCAGUAUAGGCGUCAUGCCAGCGACUAUGGAAUUCACAUUCAAUUAAAGAACACCUCGAGCAGCAACACAAAAUUCAGUGGUUGGCAAAGAAGAAUAUCCCUCUCGAUGAAUUGGCUUUUGUUUUUAUUAAAUCUUUACUUCGGGAUUUUGAGAUGGGCUCCACCUAUAUAAAACCGAUGAAUGUUAUCAUGGCAUAUGGUUUAUUUUUUAAUUAAAGGAAAUCCAUUUAAUUUA